CUCGUCUUGCUCAAGCUGAAAGAUUCUUUUCUUUCUGUGCUUGCCAUUGGCAAUCAUAUGGAAGAAUUGAGUGUUGGCGUCCCCUUGGACAACUUUGCGAACCUUGGCUCACAAUGCCCACUUCAACUCCUCUUCCCUCAAUAGCUCUUUCAAUCUCAUCUCCACAUCAACUUUAGCAUGAAGCUCUGAGGAUUGCAAAACGAAGGACUCAGCUUUCACAUCUAAGGACUGAAUAAGUGUAAGGAGUCUCUCCUUUUCAAUCUUAUAUAUCCCACUAAGAUGCUUAGCCCAUCCUCGCAAUGCUUAAAUCCGAUGUGCCAGUUGAUAAUAAUAAGAAUAUUUGAAAAAUGAAAAUACCUUUUAAGAAUAAAAUCUUUGCAUGAUAUCUUGGUCGUGGAGCUUACUAAAGAUAACCUUAUUAAGAGGAAUUGACAUGAAAGUACGCAAUGUGUCUUUUGUCAGCAUGAUGAGACGAUAAACAUUUGUUCUUUCAAUGUAAAUUGGCUCGUUUUAUAUGGUUAGUCAUCCAAAUAGCUUUUCGCUUGUACCCUCUUUGUAGUCUUGCUAAUAUAUUUGACAACUAGUUACAUGGGAUUGAACACAAGUUUAGAACUCUUCUCAGGGUAGGAGCGCUCCGUUAUUUGGUCGCUUUGGCUAUGUGGAAAUGCUAACGUUUUUACGGGGAAGUUACAUCUCUUAUUCAGGUUAUCUACAGAUGUAUCGGGACGCUUCAUUUAUGGUCGUCUCUACAGCGAAUGGAGAAUCGCGACCUCUUUAUGGAGGUUUAUACACGAUUGGAGGCUACGGCGAGGGAUACUUUUACCCAACAUGGGUGGCAGCAUGAUCUCAGGAUUGGCCCCCUACGUCUUAGGCGUUAUACGAACACUAGCUGUUUCUUAGUAUUUCGUCUCUUUUUUGGUUUUUUGUUCUGUGUGCAUUUUAGUAUGCCGAGGCCGGGUGUAAUGCUUAAACCUUUUAAGUAAUAAAGCGUCCCUUAUCGAAAAUGGGUGUGUUGUGCGUCGGUCGACGAAUCUUUGUCAAAGAUUGGCUUAGUUGUGAACCAUCUGACCGUAUGAUGCUCACUGUACGGCCGUUACUCUCCUCUGCUCACCAUAUUGCAACAUGGUCUAUGUUGCAAACCUUCAUUGCAACACGGCUCUUGUUGCAAAAUCACAUCUGAUUUGUGGUUGUGUCGUCGCCAUUGCAAUAAGAUUCUUGUUGUAAACCUUCGAUGCAAUAGGACCUUGUUGUAGCACCUUUGGCCAUGUCUGUCACUAUUGCAAUGAGACCUUUAUUGUGAAACUUUGUUGCAAAAGCAUCUCCGAUCGUGUCUGACACCAUUGCAAUAGACCCCUUGUUGCAAACCUUCAUUGCAACAUGAUUCGUGUUCCAAAGUCAUCUCAGGCUCCUUUAAAAGAAAAUCGAUCGAUAGGGGAAAAAUCCACACACCUGCAACACCGGGCCGGCUGGCGCUCACCCGUCCCUGGAGAGCGCAUCUCAUGGCGAAAACCCAAAGAGAAAUAAACUGGAUAUAGAAGACGAACGAGGAAAAAAAGGAAACGUGUGGCUCUCGUUCGCGAUUCAGAAAGGAAGGAAAAAUGAUGAGUGGUCAAGGGCCCCACAUGGGACGCGUGUCGCACAUUGAGGCAGCAGAAGAUGUGAUGUAAUCGUCCAUUGAGGGAAGCUUUUCCCUUAUAAGAAAUGGAAAGUUUGAUACAAGGAAGACACUCGCCUGCCUAAGUCAGCCCGUGGGGUGUGUGUGCCGGGUGAACCCUAUCUCGUGGCGUCACCUUCCCUUCCUCACCUCCCCGUCGAAGGAGGCAACUUGUAGGAAAAAACAUCCUAAGUGGCAGUCGGCUUGCCUCCUGGUGUUUUAGGAGUCUUUGCCGCUGGAUAGUUGUAGUAGCCCUAGAUGACACAAAUUGAUGGCCUGGGAUAUCUCGGUGAUGGUCGUGUUUCUGAGCCCGCGGAAGCGUGUGGCAGCAACAACGAUGAUUUUUAGUGGAGGUUUAUCUUCGGGGUUCCCUUUUCUCGACGUCGAUGACGGAUUGCUCCAUUAGGAGACAAUUUGUUGAUUUACGUGGCGGCCUCAAUCUAGUUGAAUGUGGGCCAUCUUCGAGGUGCACGGGCAUGAGCUAUUUUGUUUCAUGCGGCAUGACCCAAAGCUGUUGUGCGAUGCAUGGUUGACCACUAGUCCCGAUCCGAUCCAUGGAACGGAGCAAAAGAGCACAACAUUUUGGGCCAAUGUCCACACAUGGUUCCAUGAACACAAGCAUUUCGCGCCCUACUCCGACGCGGUCAUCCACACCAUGAAUCGAAGUCCCUCAACCAUUGAUAGUACACCAUCCAAGAGGCCGUCUCGAAGUAUUGCGGUCAUUUGAAGAAUUUCAUCGCACGGUGGCCUAGUGGUGCGCAAAUCAUCGAGCUGAUAAGUUUAUUUGGCCGGAUAUGCAUAGUUUCGUUGAUCACUAGCCGGAUAUGCAUACUGUUCUAGCCGGACAUACAUAGUUUCGUGGUCACUUGUCGUUAUGCAUAGUUUUGUUGGUCACUUGCCGAAUAUGGAUAGCUUUGUUGAUCAUAGCCGAAUAUGCAUAGUUUUCUUGAUCACUAGCCGGUUAUCUAUGCAUAGUUCCUGACAAUGUUAUAUUUUGUAGCCUUCUCGUGCCUGUACGGUGUUCAAGAAGUUGGGGAAGAAAUACUUCACCAUCAUGCAUUGUUGGUUGAAGUUGGAUGCACAAUAGAAGUGGAACCUAUUCAUUGCCCAGACCGCCGCCCAAGCCACCAAGGAAGAAACCAGUUACCCAACCGACCCAACAAAAGAACCGCCCAAGAAGGUUAAGAGAGUUUUGGGGAAAGAAGUGGGAGGAGGAGAGGGAGAAGCGAGAAGGUGUGGCGGCCAAGAUAACUGAGAGGUCCGAGGACAUCUAGUCGAAGAAGGAGGAGGCAUACGUCAAGCGCUCCGACAUCAAGGAGGAGAACAAGUCGGAGAGAUUCAAAUUGUUGAUGGAGGCGACCGAGAAGAAACUCAAGCUUGAAGAGAAGAGAGUCAUGGUCGAACAGAAGAAGGUGAAGAUCGCAGUCGAUGCAGAUGACGCCAAGAUGUUGACUUUUUUGUGGAUAUUUUGGAUGCGGACACAAGAAUGAUCGUGCAAACCGCCCGCUACAAGAUGUUGCAGUGGCUGGAAGAUGAGUUGGAGGCGCCGGACAAGGAGGAUAUGGAGGCGGCGGGGAACGAGGCAAAGGCUGCCUACGAGGCGGUGGCGACACCUUAAGCGUGGAAGCUCGGAUUGCCGGUUCGGCAGGAUAGAAAAUUUGAUUUUUUUUUCUUGCAUAGACUGCCGCACUGAUAUUCUUUUAUGACCGGACAUGUAAAAACUAGGCAUACUUGCCUCUUUUUGGUUGUCAUGUGAUCCGGCAAGGGAUCGGACUUUAUUUGAAUUUCAAAUUGCCAUUUACAAGCGGACAUAUACAUGACUGCAUUGGAUGGUCGGCUCCCGUAUCAAUGUCCGCGGACUGCUCUCUUAUGUCCGCAGACGAAUGCUGGAGCCAAUUUGCGGGUUAGCGUUUGAGAUGCCCUAAGGAUGAAAUCUCUACAUCAAAAUUUGACCUUGUUUGGUUGAACCUGGCAAUUCACAUGCUGAAGGCAUUGCAUGGAGUUUGUUUGGACUUCUAUUUCGGUGAAAAUUCUUGAUCUACCUCAGUGGUUCGAAUUAACGACGACGGUGCUCGUGCGCCGUUCCCUUUGUAACAGCGUCGUUGCCAAACCGUUUCUCUUGUUACCUUAGGGUUGACAUCAUUGAUGGCUGAUUUUUUUUGCAACUAUUUCAAUUCAUUGAUCUUUUUUUACUUUUGUAAUGUUGGCUUUUUUCUUUGCGAAAAACUUUCAAUCUAUUCAUCUUCAAUCAUGGCGGUUCGAAAAACAACAGAGGUAAUAAAAAUUACAAUGAUGUCCGUGGACCACCUAACGACGACUACAAAUACUUGAGCGAGCAGAAGGCGCGCCACCGUCAUCGACUCUCCCUCAUCGGAGUCAGGUAAACCUUAUUGUAGUAGGCACUCAGGAAGUUGUCGUGCUAAACUCCCAUAGGACCAGCACACCAAGUAGCAACCAUCGCCGAUGAAGGAAGCCGUAUAUUAGAAGGAUCAACCCUAUAAACACCUGAACGAAGACGAGCGAAGAUCAGAUCCAAACAGAUCCAUGGAAGACUAGCACCAACCCAAUCCCGCGAGAUCCGACAAGACACGCCUCCACACGCCCUCCGACGAUACUAGACGCAUCAUCGAGACGAGGAUAGAAUGUGGGAGACAUUAUUUGUACUAAGGGACAUCGCUGCCGCUACACAGCCCCAACUAAGACGCUGAACCUAGAGGCCAUGGGAAUGGGGCGGACUGGCGGCGCGUCAGGAGGUGAAGAGGUUUUCUUGUGGAGGAGGAAAGAGACUUAAACAAUUUGUUUGUAAUAUUAGUUGUCUGCAUUGGUUCAUAUUUUGACUAGUACAAAGGCAGAAUGCAAUUAGUACCCUUUUAUGUAAAUUUCCAUCAUAUGUCAUCUCAUUAAUUUUGGCUCUAGAAAAUUUUCCAAGUUCGUGGGUUAGAGAUAGAAGAUGUGAUUGACAUUUUUUUCAUGGAACAGGAACAAGUUUUACUUGAAAAUUGUAUUACAGAAGUUAAUUACCAGUUACUCCCUCCAUUCGGAAAUACUUGUCCAAAAAAUAAAUGUAUCUAGACGUAUUUUAAUUAUAGAUACAUUCAUUUUUAUGACAAAUAAUUCCGAAGGAAGGGAGUACAAAACAGAAUGACUGGUCUGUUUGGUGGAAGGAUUGUCUUCAGCUACUUCACCCCAAAAAGAAAAAAACUUAGAUCCAUGCCCUCCAUAAGCCACGGAAUGGCAGAACAAUCAAGCUCUGCUCCGAUUCUUUGUACCUUGAAAUUUUAACAAACUUAAUUUUUCACCUCGUCACUUUCGCCAAACCUACUGAAAUUUCAGUGCAUCAUGUUGGACAUCAGGAUAAUCUCUUAGGCUAGUCAUAGUGGGAGUAACUUAGCUAGUAACAUAGCGUACUUCAAGAAAUUUUUGUUUAUGUGGCAAGUAUUUAAUGUGAGGUGGUAACAUAAUAUGUUACUGUAACAUAGCGUUUUCCAAGACAAGAUGAGUCUACAAGCUAAUAAAUGAAGCUAUCUAUGACAUUAUUAUCAUGUUACCUUGCAUUAUGAAGGUAGUAACUUAGACUAGUGUCAUGCACUCCCCACUGCGGAAAACAGUUGAGGCAUCCACAAAAAUUCAUGAGUUUCGAACCUUAAUUCAAUUUUCAAUCUGUAGAUGCUAGCAGCAUCUAUGUCCUCGAUCCACACCUAUCAACCGGAUGACCAAGUUUAUGACAAGUUGACAACAUUAUCAGAGCCUCACAGCGGCGAUCAGCAAAGCUAGGUUCCAUGGACCGGAUGACCAAGUUUAUGGCCAUUUUUCAUGGUACUCAGCAUUCUUGGGGUGGUUUGGACCGCGAGAAAAUAUCCCGUUCAGAGAUGCUCGUCCUAAAUAUAAAAAUACUCAAGCUCUCAUGUUUAGUUUGUGCGUUCACCACAGCAAAGCUAGGCUCUCUUUUGGUGAAGCCUUUCUCCAUCUGGUUCUUUUUUGUUCUGUUUUGGCGGGCGAAAACGUCAGUCGGAUCGUUGGACACGUCCUCCGAUUUUGCAGUACCGCGAGAACAUAUCCCACUUGGCCUUCGGUUACGGAAAAAGAACGGAGAUUUGCCGGCUCUGCAUGGGAAUAUUAGGUGAGAUCUCUUCACUUUCUCUCCAUUGCCAAAUUCCGACCAAGCACAGAAUAUAUUCUUUCCACGAGCCAUCGAUCAGCCGGCUAAUGUUGCAUGUGUGUCUUAUCUCAUCAUUGAGCUUCAUUGGGGCACAUAAUUUAAGCAUCAACCGGAUUCACCUGUCGGGUGGAAUGUGGUCUAGCCACUACGCAUCUGUUUUACUGUCAAGUUGGGUAGCCCAUAAACGCGUUUCAUUCUUAAUAACUUGAUUGUUACAUUUAGUCAAACUUCAGGGAUCAAGGAGGAGGCGGGGUGUAUCACCUGCACAUGGAGGAAUAUUCAAAUGAUAUCACCUACGCGUUUCUCUCCCGUCACGCAUGGAGGUCAGCCCUGGACGGCGCGCCGUGCGACGCGGAGCUGCACGCCGGCGUGGAUCUGGCCCUCCGGCCUCUUCUACGGCGCGGUGGCGCUGGAUGCUGGGGCGACGGCCCAGGGAGCGGCGGCCCCCUCCUCUCUUCCUCGCGGUGGAGGAGCGGCGGCUGACCGUUUUGGCGGCGGAUCGGGGCGUUCUGCUCGGAUCUGGUGGGCGCGCGCCGUCGGCGGGAUGCGGCGGUGCUGGCCGUCCUGGGCCGCGUGGGUGGCAGGGCGGCUGUGCGUGGUGUAGGCCCCGGCGCCUCUGGCCCUUGGCGGCAUGGAGGGCCUGGGUUGUGUCGGCGCCAUGUGUGGUUUGCCCUCCGGACAGAUUUGAUCUGGCCGGUGCGACCUCAAUGUGCGGUGGUUCAGAUCGACAGCGACCCGUGCACGCGAUGCUUGAUGGAGGUUCCUUCAGCGGAUCCGGGUGAAAACCUAGUUCUCGACUUGAUGCCAAGACCGGCGUUGGCGGCACUCUUUUGUGUCAUUACCUUUUUGAAGGCCUCACCGUGGAGAAGCUCCAGACCUCUAUCCGCUACCUCCGGGGGAAACCCUAGAUCAGUAGAUCAGAUGACGGCGGCGCGUUGGUGUCGUUUCCUCCUUGGGGGCGUUAUUCUUGGAGGCGUACAAGGGUUCGAGGGACCAGUGGGCGGCUUUUUAGUGGAGCGGUGCUUCAUCCUGCACAUUGAUGAUGGCGGAUCUCGGCGGCGUGGUGCAGUGGAGACUCGGCGCCCGAUGCACGGUGCUGGACUCGCGCAGGAGGGGGUUGUUGUCUGCCGUCAUGGUGGCGUCGAUGGCAGAGUGGCCCGACAAGGUAGAAGCCUCAAUAUCUGCUCUGAAGACGGACCAGUGGAAGAUGGCGGCGACGACACAUUUGAGUGCGUCAGACCAGUUCAUGCCCCAGACCGGGUAUGUGGCUCGGUUCGGGCUUCUGGCUUUUGAUGAUAGGCUUAGGUGAGUGGACUGGGUAUUUGGCUUAGCUAGUGCCCCUUCAUCAUAUGGAUAGGAGUAGUGGCAUAUGAUGCCAAGAUGGCGGAUUCAGACCUAUUGUUGUAAUACUUUGUAAGGUCCUCGAGAAUAAUCAAUAAAGUGGCCGCAUGCAUCUCCUAGAUGCAGAGGCCGGGGGUCAUCCUCCUUUUCUAAAAAAAGGACGCGGUUAAACUGAACUCAAGCUUAUGUGCGUUCGGUUGAACAGCAAAAUAAAAUAAAAUCUGAUUUCUUUUGGUAGGACAUAUUGACAAAAGUUUUCAUUGCUUGCGGAAUUUCAACAUCGGAUGACAUUCGUGGGAAACAUGGCAAAAAAAAACGAAAGUGAUGCUCCAAAAUGCUUAUGGAAAAAGCAUUUUGGAGCAUCGAUUUUUGUGUUUUUGCCAUGUUUUUCAAGAAUAUCAUUUCGUGAUUAAACUUUGCAAGCAAUUGUUCAUAUUUUUAUGAGUUUUAUUUCUCAAAAUGCAUGUUUUUAUUUAUAUUGUUAGUUUUAUGAUAACCUUUUUUUAUCUCUUCACUUUCUUGUGCUCAGUAGGCUGGCACAUGUGGUACUUUUUCUCUCACAAAACACAUUAUAUGUGAACAUUAUUAAAUACAACAACAGGACAGUCCAUUUGGACGAGCUAUAUCUAAAUGCACAUUUAACGUAUAUGAUAUCACUUAAGAUAUAAUGCAGUGAGAGUGCUCUUAGAUACAACAAGAAGAUACAAUGCAUUCAAGGAGUUGUAUCUAACCCCGCAAAAAAGGAGUUGUAUCUAAUUUCAUAUUUAAUGAAUAUGAUAUGGUUCAAAAUAUAAUGCAUUGGGAGUGCCAUAAGUACUAUUAAUUUAAGUAGUUAGGACUUAAGAGUGAACUUCUCUUGUAGUGGCCAAAACUAAAACAAGCCAAUAGUGAGACUAAUAGUGAUUUUUAUUCAAAAUUGAAGUAGUUCGGGUUGCAUGCUUUUCAUGAUAACAAUUUUCUACAAGAUCGGCCAUGGUUUAAGUGCCUUCUUUGGCUCCUUUUUCUAGUACAUGGGGAAUUCAAACUUCUCAUGUCACAUUGUACUAGUCAUUUCCUUUAAUGAUGUAGGACUCUAACUCUAGUAAGAAUAAGUUUUCCUAAACUAAUAUUGAGGGUAGCUUCACGAAAUAUAAAAAAUGGACUUCGGCGGUCCUAUAGUGUUGGGGAACGUAGCAUGCAAUUUCAAAAAAAAUCCUAUGCUCACGCAAGAUCUAUCUAGGAGAUGUAUAGCAACGAAGGGAGAGUGUGUCCUCGUAGACCGUAAGCGGAAGCGUUUCACAACGUGGUUGAUGCAGUUGAACUUUCUUCGCGAUCCACCGAUUGAGUACCGAACGUACGACACCUUCGAGUUCUGCACACGUUCAGUUCGGUGACGUCCCUCACCUUCUUGAUCCAGCAAGUUGUCGAGGUAGUAGAUGAGUUCCGUCAGCACGACGGCAUGUUGACGGUGAUGGUGAAGUGAUCCGUGCAGGGCUUCGCCUAAGCACUACGAAGAUAUGACCGUGGGAGUAAACGGUGGAGGGGGGACGCCGCACACGGCUAACAAUUGUCUGGGGUGUGCUAGGGGGCGCCCCCCACAUAUAUAUAGGUGGGAGGGAGAGGGGAGAAGCCAGGAGGCGCCCCAAGUAGGACCGAAUCCUACUUGGGUUCCUCCUAGGACCCCCCUUCCUUAUUUACCAGAUGGAAAUGAAAGAGGAGGGAGGAGGGAAGGAAGGGGGAGGCCGAAACCCCCCUUUCCUUCUCCCUUCCCCUCUUUCCUUCUCCUCUGGUUUGGCCCAUAUGGGGGGCGCACCAGUCGUUGGUGGCUGGUGUGUUUCCCUUCUUGGCCCAUUAGGCCCAUAUCUUUUGCCGGGGGUGCCUAGAACCCCUUCCGGUAACCCGAUAUGUACCCGGUACCCUCCGGAACACUUCCGGUGUCUGAAUACUAUCGUCCUAUAUAUAUCAAUAUUUACCUCUCGACCAUUUCGAGACUCCUCGUCAUGUCCGUGAUCUCAUCUGGAACUCAACAUUCGGUCACCAAAUCACAUAACUCAUAUAUUACAAUAUCGUUAUCGAACGUUAAGCGUGCGGACCCUACGGGUUCGAGAACAAUGUAGACAUGACCGAGACACCUCUUCGGCCAAUAACCAAUAGCGAAACCUGGAUGCCCAUAUUGUCUCCUACAUAUUCUACGAAGAUCUUUAUCGGUCAAACCAUUAUGACAACAGUAAUUCCCUUUGUCCAUCGGUAUGUUACUUGCCCGAGAUUCGAUAGUCGGUAUCUUCAUACCUAGUUCAAUCUCGUUACUGGCAAGUCUCUUUACUCAUUCCGUAAUACAUCAUCCUGCAACUAACUCUUUAGUCACUUUGCUUGCAAGGCUUCUUAUGAUGUGUAUUAUCGAGAGGGCCCAGAGAUACCUCUCCGGUACUCAGAGUGACAAAUCCUAAUAUCGAUCUAUGCCAACUCAACAAACAAAUUCGGAGAUACCUGUAAAGCAUCUUUAUAAUCACCCGGUUAUGUUGUGACGUUUGAUAGCACACAAGGCAUUCCUCCGGUAUCCGGGAGUUGUAUAAUAUCAUAGUCGAAGGAAUAUGUAUUUGACAUGAAGAAAGCAAUAGUGAUAAAACUGAACGAUCAUUAUGCUAAGCUAACGGAUGGACUUUGUCCAUCACAUCAUUCUCCUAAUGAUGUGAUCCCGUUAUCAAAUGACAACUCAACGAGCUAGUCAAGUAGAGGCUCACUAGGGAGACAGUGUUUGUCUAUGUAUUCACACAUGUAUUUAGGUUUCCGAUUAAUACAAUUCUAGCAUGAAUAAUAAACCUUUAUCAUGAAUAAGGAAAUAUAAAAUAACAACUUUAUUAUUGCCUCUAGGGCAUAUUUCCUUCAUAUAGAGCAUGCGACACGUAAUUCUUUUGGCUAGCUCCAUAUGUGGUGCUCAUUGCAGCUUGUAGAUGCACAAGGUUCUCUAGGUCAUGGGUGCAACCACAUGGAGAUGAUACCUAUGGCUUUGUUCACAAAUAUGGAUGUCGACCUAGCAAGAAGAUUUGUGAUGCAUUCAUUUUUGCCUCUUGGUUGUCCAUUUUAUGUAGCUUUUUUUAUUUUUCUUUUGUGAGGAUUUAGACACUGUAGUAAAAUGGUUGUGUGCAUCACUUGAUGCAAACGCUGAUGAUUAAACCUUUUCUAAAAGGUAAACUAUUUUAUAAUUAGGUGUUUGGUGCAAAUAAAAGUAAAUAUAAUCAACUCUUCCAAAAAUUAUAUAAAUUGCACCGUAGAAUGAGAAUUGAGGAGGAAUUCAAACAUCUAGACGUAGUUCAGGGGACUAUUAUGGGGCACAGAUGGAGGAUGAGAAGAUAGUUGGUAGAGAAAAGUAGGACAACGAGGCACAAUGAGUAUGAACAAAAAAAUCCCGACUCGUGAGAAGUAGAUGGUGACAUGUUCAUGCAUUGGGCUAGGAGGAACGGUAGGUCAGAACUACGAACGUGCACAGAAAAGGAGGAGAAUGAGAAAGCAGUGGGAGGAGAUAAGAGAAACUUUCCAACUAUUAUGCAAAUAACCAUUAAGAGCUUAUAUGUAAUCCAAUGGUCUCGAGUAUGAAAAUUCACAUUUUUUUAUGAAAAUGGGCAACUAUAAAACAUGCAUCUACAAUGACACAUAUUUCAAUUCCAUAUGGGGUCCACACAAUGAAAAAGGUCAAGUAAAUAUGUAAAUAGUAGCUAAAAUUAUUAUUCAUGAUACAGUGAAUGCCCACUUGGCAUAUGUGGUAAGAUAUCUUAAGAAUAAUCCAAAAUAACACAAUGUAUGUUUUUAUUCAAUUUCACAAUAAAUUUAUAUUUAAUUCUAUGAGAUGGAAGAUACACCUCAUAUUAUUAUUAUUAAAAUUAUUAAUAAUAUUAGUGUUAUAUCUUCUUUUGUGUUUUUUUGUAUAUUCGAUCAAAAGGCUGAUUGCAUAUAACGACUAAAAGUGAGACUGCUGGAAUCUAGCUGGAAGAGAGUGGUACGAAGCAUCAAGACUAGAAUUAGAAUCCAUCUCUUGUCCUACCAUCAUCUUGAAUUAAGGUCUAUUUGAUUUCUAGUAUUUAGAAAAUGUGAGAUAUAAAAGAUAAGACAUGCUAUGAUGCAUAUGUAUGACCAAUAUUCUUUUGGCAAGCAGAUAGCGAAAAAGAAGAAAUAUCGAUUGGCUAAAUGGAGUGUGGUUUGCCAUCCCAAGGACCAAGGAGGGUGAGUAUUCAUGACCUCGAUGUUAAAAAUAUGGCCCUACUUGGCAAAUGGUUGUUUAAGCUACUUACCGAAGAUGGUGUAUGACAAACCCUCCUAGAAGAAAAUAUGUGGGCUCAAAGACAGUGUCCCAAGUAUAUUGGAAGCCUGGGGACUCACACUUUUGGGCUGGUCUUAUGGCUAUGAAGAAACAUUUCUUCUGCUAUGGAUCCUUCACCACUAAAACAGAUCAAAAAUUAGGUUCGGGGAGGAUAAGUGGCUAUGCAAUGCCACUCUCCGGGAACAAUAUCCUACUCUAUACAAUUUUGUGCGUCACAUGGGUGAUGCUAUCGCCACGGUUAUGGAAUCCUUUCUAUUGAAUGUGAUGUUCAUCAGAGAUUUAAUCGGUCCUAGACUUGAAUCGUGGAACACUUUGGUACAACGCUUGUCCAUGGUAAAAUUGUCGCAAGGGAUCGAUGUAUUUCAUUGGAACUUACAAGAGGGUGGUAAUUUAUUGGUGGAGCAAAUGUAUAGAGAAUUCAUCCAAUCAGAUGUGCAUGUUGAUAAUAAUAAAAAGAUUUGGAAAAUGAAGAUACCACUCAAGAAUAAAAUCUUUGCAUGGUAUCUUCGUUGAGGAGUCAUUCUUACCAAAGAUAAACUUAUUAAGAGGAAUUGACAUGGAAGUGCGCAAUGUGUUUUUUUGUCACCAUGAUGAGACCAUAAAACACUACGUCUUCCCAUGCAAAUUGGCUCGUUCUAUAUAUCAGUCAUCCAAGUAGCUUCUGGCUUGUAUCCUCCAUGUAGUAUUGCUAAUAUUUUUGGCAACUGGUUACAUGGGAUCAAUAACAAGUUUAGAAUUCUUCUCAGGGUGGGAGCGCUUGCCAUGAUUUGGCCACUUUGGCUAUUUAGAAUGAUAAGGUUUAUAACGAUAAAAAUCUUCUCUUAUGCAGUUUAUUUACGGAUGUAUCGAUACGCUCCGUUUAUGGCUGCCUCUACAACGUGUGUAGAAUCGAGACCUGUUUAUGGAGGUGUGUACACGCUUGGAGGCCACGACGAAGGAUACUUUUACCCGACAUGGAUGUCAACAUGAUCUUUGGAUUGGCCCUCCUACGUCUUAGGCGUUAUACUGUCUCCACAUGAUACUUUUAUUCCACAUUUUUUCGACUUUUUUUGGAACUUAGACUUGGUUAUGGCUGUGUGCAUCUUAGUUAUGCAGAUGUCGGGUGUAAUUCUUAUACCUUUUAAGUAAUAAAACGCCCUUUAUCGAAAAUGUAAAAUGGGGGAUGACAUAAUAUUUCGCGUUUAGAUGACACAUAUAACUUGAUCCAUAGUGAGUCAAGAUAAAACAACCUUCCUAACCGUCAAAUUAUAUGGUGUAUGAUGGUUAUAGACCUAGUUAUUUAAUCUUAAAUAGAUUGAUGAACACUCAUGAGGGAGUCCUGGACUAGGGGGUGUCCGGACAGCCGGACUAUCAUCGUCCGCCGGACUCCAAGACUACGAAGAUACAAGAUUGAAGACUCUGUCCCGUGUCCGGAUGGGACUUUCCUUGGCGCGGAAGGCAAGCUUGGCGAUACGGAUAUGUAGAUCUCCUACCAUUGUAACCGACUCUGUGUAACCCUAGCCUCCCCCGGUGUCUAUAUAAACUGGAGGGCUUUAGUCCGUAGGACAACAUACAUUACAACAAUCAUACCAUAGGCUAGCUUUAGGGUUUAGCCUCCUUGAUCUCGUGGUAGAUCCACUCUUGUACUACCCAUAUCAUCAAUAUUAAUCAAGCAGGACGUAGGGUCUCCAUCAAGAGGGCCCGAACCUGGGUAAAACAUCGUGUCCCUCGUCUCCUGUUACCAUCCGCCUAGACGCACAGUUCGGGACCCCCUACCCGAGAUCCGCCGGUUUUGACACCGACAUUGGUGCUUUCAUUGAGAGUUCCUCUGUGUCAUCACCGAUAGGCUUGAUGGCAUCUACAACCAACGACGCUGUCCAGGGUGAGACUUUUCUCCCCGGACAGGUCUUCGUAUUCGGCGGCUUCGCACUGCGGGCUAAUUCGCUUGGCCAUCUGGAGCAGAUCGAAAGCUACGCCCCUGGCCGUCAGGUCAGAUUCGGAAGCCUAAACUUCACGGCCGAUGUCCACGGAGACUUGAUCUUCGACGGACCCGAGCCACAGCCAAGCGCGCCACACUGUUGCGAUGGGCAUGAUCUAGCUCUGCCGCCGAACAGUGCCUUGGUGGCCGCGCACGAAUCCGCUCCGGCCAUUGGUCCGGAGCAGACUGCCCAGAUAGAGGAUCGGUGGAUGGACGCCGCCUCAGGGGCUUCAACUGCUACGGCGAUGGAGCCGAACACUAAUCUUGUCCCUCGCAAAACUCGUGAUUCCGAGGUGACGGACUCCUUGCCGGACUCCGAACCUCCCACGCCCCUACCAGUCAAACCGGAUUGGGCGCCGGUUAUGGAAUUCACCGCCGCGGACAUCUUCCAAUACUCGCCUUUUGGCGACAUCCUGAAUUCACUAAAGCAUCUCUCGUUAUCAGGAGAGCCCUGGCCGGACUAUGGCCAGGAUGGUUGGGAUGCGGGCGACGAAGAAAUUCAGAGCCCACCCACCACCCACUUUGUAGCCACUGUCGACGAUCUAACCGACAUGCUAGACUACGACUCCGAAGACAUCGACGCUAUGGACGACGAUGCCGGAGACGAACAGGAACCAGCGCCUACAGGGCACUGGAAGACCACCUCGUCAUAUGACAUAUACAUGGUGGAUACCCCAAAAGAUGGGGACGGCGAAGAAACAGCGGAGGCAGAUUCUUUAAAGAAACAGCCCAAGCGCCAGCAUCAGCAGCGCCGCUCUAAAUCCCGCCACAGCAAGAAUGGAGAUUCCGGCACAGGAGAUAAUAAUACCCUAGAAAGUGCCGAAGACAACCCCCUCCAGCAAGACUCAGCGCAGGAGGAUGCAGAAGCAAGCCCUCAGGAGAGGGCGGCGGACGAAGAGGUUGAGGAUUACAACUAUAUGCCUCCCUCCGAAGACAAGGCAAGCCUCAACGAUGACGAAUUCGUCGUGCCCGAGGAUCCCGUCGAACAAGAGCGUUUUAAACGCAGGCUUAUCGCCACGGCAAACAGCCUAAAGAAAAAGCAGCAGCAGCUUCAAGCUGAUCAGGACCUGCUGGCCGAUCGAUGGACCGAGGUCCUCGCGGCCGAAGAGUAUAAACUCGAACGCCCCUCCAAAAGCUAUCCAAGACGCAAGCUGCUCCCCCGAUUAGAGGAGGAAGCAUACAUACCUCCAUCACCAGCGCACGAUACGGCUGACCGACCACCCCGCGGUCGUGACAGAGAGGCAUCCAGGCCCCCAGCCAAGACCGUACCCCGGCAUCGCUCCAAAAGUACGAAGCCAAGAGGGAACGCGCCAGACUUGCGAGAUAUAUUGGAGGACAAAUCAAGGCAAUCCAGAUCCAUCUACGGAUCACGUGGGCACCACACGACCCAUGAAGAAUACCAUCGUACCGGAUAUAAUAACCCCGGCCGGGCCGAACACGGCAGACAGCGCUCUCUCGAGCUGCGUCAUGAUAUUGCUCAAUACAGAGGCGCCGCACACCCACUAUGCUUCACUGACGAAGUAAUGGAUCAUCAAAUCCCUGAAGGGUUUAAACUCGUAAACAUUGAAUCCUACGAUGGCACAACAGACCUCGCGGUUUGGAUAGAAGAUUAUCUUCUCCACAUCCAUAUGGCCCGCGGCGACGAUCUCCACGCCAUCAAGUAUCUCCCACUCAAGCUUAAAGGACCAGCUCGGCAUUGGCUUAACAGCUUGCCCGCAGAGUCAAUUGGGUGUUGGGAAGACCUGGAGGCCGCAUUCCUUGAUAACUUCCAAGGCACGUAUGUGCGACCACCAGAUGCCGAUGACCUAAGCCACAUCAUUCAGCAGCCAGACGAAUCGGCCAGACAAUUCUGGACACGGUUCUUGACGAAGAAAAAUCAAAUCGUCGACUGUCCGGAUGCAGAGGCCCUUGCAGCCUUCAAGCAUAACAUCCGCGACGAAUGGCUAGCCCGGCACCUGGGCCAGGAAAAGCUGAAAUAUAUGGCAGCCCUCACAUCAUUAAUGACCCGCUUCUGCGCGGGAGAGGAUAGCUGGCUAGCCCGCAGUAACAAUCUCCGCAAAAAUUCUGGCAGUCCGGACACUAAGGACAACAACGGCAGGUCACGUCGAAACAAAAACAAACGCCGCAUCGACGGCGACGACAAGGAGGAUACGGCAGUCAACGCCGGAUUCCGAGGCUCUAAACCCGAUCAACGAAAGAAGCCAUUCAAACGAACCACUCCGAGUCCGUCCAAUUUGGACCGAAUACUCGACCGCUUAUGCCAGAUACAUGGCACCCCUGAAAAACCAGCCAAUCACACUAAUAGAGAUUGCUGGGUGUUCAAACAGGCAGGCAAGUUAAUUGCCGAAAACAAUGACAAGGGGCUAAACAGCGAUGACGAGGAGGAGACCCGACCGCCGAACAGUAGAGGACAGAAGGGUUUUCCCCCACAAGUGCGGACGGUGAACAUGAUUUACGCAACCCAUAUACCCAAGAGGGAGAGGAAGCAUGCACUAAGGGACGUCUAUGCGAUGGAGCCAGUCGCCCCGAAGUUCAAUCCAUGGUCCUCUUGUCCGAUCACUUUCGAUCGAAGAGACCAUCCGACCAGCAUACACCAUGGCGGAUUCGCCGCAUUGGUUUUAGACCCAAUCGUCGAUGGAUUUCACCUCACGAGAGUCCUGAUGGACGGCGGUAGUAGCCUGAACCUGCUUUAUCAGGAUACAGUGCGCAAAAUGGGCGUAGACCCCUCAAGGAUUAAACCUACAAAGACAACCUUUAAAGGUGUCAUACCAGGUGUGGAAGCCAACUGUACAGGCUCAGUAACACUGGAAAUGGUCUUCGGAUCCCCGGACAAUUUCCGGAGCGAGGAGUUAAUCUUCGACAUAGUCCCGUUUCGCAGCGGCUAUCACGCUCUGCUCGGACGAACCGCGUUUGCAAAAUUCAACGCGGUGCCAGGCCCUCGUGGAGUCAUCACGGUCAACGGGAAUACGGAACGCUCCCUCCGAACGGAGGAACAUACAGCGGCCCUCGCGGCAGAAGUACAGAGCAGCCUCUUAAGGCAAUUCUCGGGUCCGGCCGUUAAAUGGCCGGAUACAGCAAAACGCGCCCGAAGCAAUACCAACCAAGACCACCUGGCGCGAUCAGAGCACGCGUAGCAAUGCGGCCCCGACCCCCGCCCGCGCAUGAUCGCAAGAAUAACACUCCGCGUACAUCAUUACGCUUUGGAGAUACCAUGGGCGCAGGGGAAGGGGCACGAUCGCAAUGGACCCAGAGUGUGGUUCGACCACACCAGGGGCUCGCAAGUGUGCCCCCCUUUUUUUAUUAUUAUUUUCCUUCUUUGUGUACACAGGACUCCGGUAACCAGAGGCCCUGUCCGGCGGCGAACCUGCCGAACUCGCGAUGCAACAGUCAGGGACGAAAGAAGGCUGCGACGAACACUCAGGUGGUCUCAAUUACGAGCAUUAAAUUCGAUUAUAUACACCAAGUCCGCAGCUCACCCCUGGAGGGGGACAUGUUUACUUAAGUCCAAAUCCCUUGCUUACCGCACUAUUUGUAUCAGUCCGCACUCAUAGCAGACUUCCUUUAAUAAAUAAUGCAGCACUUUUCAACUACAAUCAUGUCACCUUUUAUAUAUAUGUUCAUUACAUGACAUCUCGCACCCGUAUAUUUUGGUACGGCCGAAUACACCAGGGGCUUGUGUUCCCCGCAUUAUGGUGUGAUAAGUCCGAACACUUUCACAAGUGCGGCACCCCGAACUUAUAGCAUUAUAUGAAUCGGCUCCGAAUCAUGUCUUGGGUCAAUAGUUGGGUUUGCCCGGCUCCCACGUUUUGGUGCCUUACGUUCCGUUCUGUCGGCUAAGGUGGCACUGGGAGAACCACUGCGAUUGCGCCCCGGUUGAGCCGGGCGAGCGCCUCAGUGGAGAAAGCUAAAACUGACUGGCAUGAUAAGGCGAGAGACUGGUCGCUGUUCGAGAGGUUUUUUCGGGUCCUUAAAGACUCACGCCGCUUCGAGCGAAGUUCCGGACAAUGUCCGACGAAGGCGUGGAUAGCGCCCCGGGUUCGGCCUUCCGAAUACCAGGGGCUUCGCCGAAAUUUAAAAUUAUAUAAUUCUAUGGCUAAGUGAGAGUGUUCAAGCACUAUAAGUCCGGUUGCCUUGUUCGCUGUGUUGAGCGCCUCCCUAGAUGGACCCAAAAAUGGGAACAAGAGCGCUCAAGGUUAUCCCGAACACCCCAGCACUCGUGGCUUGGGGGCUGAAGCCAACGACUUGCCAUCUCUCAGAUUUUUACACGGCCGCACAAAAGGUAAUAUUUUAAAUUAAACAAGCGUUGCUUAAUGCGCACAUGAAUAAAGUUUCAGCGCAAAGGAUAAUACAUAACGAGGCUACUCAAAGAUUACAUUUCUGGGGCACUCAUCCGCAAUAUCGCGGGCUCCCUUUAGGAUAGUUUUAUAAUACAUUUCAGGCGUGCGAUACUCCUUACCCGGUGGCGGUGGGUCCGUGAGAAGCUUCUCCGCAUCCAACUUGCCCCAAUGCACCUUUGUGCGGGCAAGGGCCCGACGAGCACCUUCAAUACAGGUGGAGCGCUUGAUGACCUCCACCCAGGGGCAUGCAUCCACCAGCCGCCGCACGAGGCCAAAGUAGCUCCCAGGCAUGGCCUGUCCAGGCCACAGCCGGACUAUAAGGCCCUUCAUGGCCUCCUCAGCUACCUUGUGGAGUUCGACCAGCUGCUUCAGCUGGUCGCUUGGGGGCACCGGGUGUCCGGCCUCAGCAUACUGAGACUAGAAGACUUUUUCCGUCGAGCUCCCCUCCUCGCCACGAUAGAAUGCGGCGGCAUCGGAUGCACUACGCGGUAGAUCUGCAAACGCCCCUGGAGAGCUCCGAAUGCGGGUAAGUGUCAGGUAUUUUACAUUAACAUGCUUGCUUUGCAUGAAAAAUGCCUUACCCGCCGCUAUCUUCUUUACAUCUUCAAGCUCCUGAAGGGCCUUAUGGGCCUCGGCCUUGGCGGACUUGGCACUUUCGAGAGCCGAGGCAAGCUCGGACUCUUGAGUCUUGGAGUCGCGCUCCAAACUCUCAUGCUUCUCCAUGAGAGCCUGGAGCUCUUGCCGUACUUCCUCCACCCGUGCCUCCUGCUUCUCUCGCUCUUCCCGCUCCGCGGCCGCACUGCGUUCGGCCGCGGACACAGCCUCCUUUAGGGCUGCCACCUCGUUCGUGGCCCCUGCAAUACCCAUAUUAUCCUUGUUAAUUUUAUUGCAACCAAAAUCCUUUUCUGUAAGGUAACUAUUCAAAGUGGUGUGACUCACCUUCUUUGUCCUCGAGCUGCUUCUUGGCAUGGCCGAGCUCUUGCUCGGACCGCUCAAGAUCUUUCUUCAACACAUCGACCUCCGCCGAUAGUGCGGCAGAGGUCAGCAGCGCAGCCUGCAAACCCAUAUUGACAUAUUUUAAGCAACCCUGCGUAUAUCUUGUUAGAUCCUCAGUCCGGCUUUUCUUUCCGAACACCGAACUGAGCAUCAGGGGCUAGUGUCUAUGCGGUAUUACAUUACAUAAUUUUAACUUCUUACCUCAAAGCCUGUUAGAAGGCUGCUGCAGGCUUCGGUCAGCCUGCUUUUUGCGAGCUGAACAUUUUGAAUCACCGCACUCAUGAUAGUGCGGUGUUCUUCCUUGAUGGAGGCGCCUUUAAGCGCUUCCAGCAAGUUAUCCGGCGCCUCCGGUUGGACGGAGGUCGUCGGUGUCACGGUCUUGCCCUUCUUUCCAAGGGGCCGCUUGCCGGACUCUGGAACCACUGCAGGUUCCUAUGUAGAGCCCGGCGCAAAGUCCGGGAGGCUGCCUGACGGCGCCUCCGGAGCCUCCUCCUGAUGGGUCCCUCUCUGGGAUCCCACCUCGACGUCCUCGUCGGCGCGUGGGGUAGAGGCAGUCGAAGUGAAUCCACAUCCGACGGGGCCAACGACCCGCUCGAUGAAUCGGGGAGAUCGUCAUCGGCCGGACUACGGACAGAAUGCGGCAUUAAGGACACUACGCGACACGAAAGAAAUUGCAUAUAAAGGAUCCAGAUACUUACGAUCUUGCCGGACGCCUGGCCCUUGGAGGCCACUCAUCAUUGCCAACGGUGGUGUUGGCGAAACUGUCCGGGGGGAUAGUCCUCCCCCUCUUGGACCCUUCGGCCUCCCCUAUUGGGGAAGCCUUCCUCUUCUUCUCUCCCUCCUCCGGGAGAGAAUCCUCCUCCUCCUCUUCUUCUUCGGGGGAGGAGUCCACCUCGUCGUCAGACGCCUGAUUGCGGGAACUCUUUCGAGUCCCCGCGGCCACCUUCUUGGCCUUAUUCUCCGGCACCACGUGCGGUGCCGGAACCAGCAGCCUUGCUAAACGGGCGUUCUCUGGGUCUUCUGGCAUGGGAGCCGGGCUGAUAAGUAGCUUGGCCUUCUCCAUCCAUUCCUGUCAAAGGAAAAGACAAAAUGAAACCCCUCUAGAAUCAAUUUGAUUACCACAAGUGUCCCGUAAAGGGGUUGAAUCACUUACCUCGUCAGCCGGAUGCUGCGAGCGAAAUCCGCGAUCUUCUGUCGCGGAUGCGGGGGCUUCGGCGCCCUUAAACAGCACCCUCCAGGCGCCUUCGUAUGUCGUAUCGAAGAGCCCGCUUAGCGCCUGGUGCUGUUCCGGAUUGAACUCCCACAAAUUAAAUGCCCGUUCUUGGCAUGGGAGGAUCCGGCGGAUGAGCAUGACUUGGACCAUGUCGACGAGCCUAAGCUUACCGCUCACCAGCUUCUGGAUGCAGGCUCGGAGUCCCGUCAGCUCCUUCGGAUUGCCCCACAACAAGCCCUUCUCUUUCCAGGAGGUGAGCUGCGUGGGGACGCCAGAUCUAAACUCGGGGGCCGCCGCCGAUGUGGGCUUGCACGGCUCGGUAAUGUAGAACCACCCUGAUUGCCACCCCUUGACGGAGUCCACGAAGGCCCCUUUGAGCCAAAGGACGUUGGGCAACUUGCCCAACAUGGCGCCUCCGCAUUCCGCUUGCGUGCCCUUCACAACCUUCGGCUUGACGUUGAAGGUCUUGAGCCACAGGCCGAAAUGGGGCCGGAUGCAGAGGAAGGCCUCGCACACGACGAUAAACGCCGAGAUGUUGAGGAUGAAGUUCGGCGCCAGAUCGUGGAAAUCCAGGCCGUAGUAAAACAUGAUCCCCCGGACAAAUGGGUGCAGUGGAAGUCCCAGUCCGCGGAGGAAGUGGGGGAGGAAGACGACCCUCUCAUGGGGCCCAGGGGUAGGGAUGAGCUGCCCCUCGUCGGGCAGCCGAUGCGCGAUAUCGCCGGAAAGGUAUCCGGUGCUGCGCAGUUUGGUGAUGUGCUCCUCCUUAACGAUGGAGGCCAACCAUUUGCCUCCCGCUCCGGACAUAUUCGGAGAAGGUUGGGGCGAGAUGCGCAAGCUUGGGCGUUGGAGCUUGAGUACGCGGAGAUGGAUAAGCAAAGGAGGAAGAAGGCGUAGGUGAGAAGGUAAAUCCUUAUCCCUUAUAUAUAGGCGGACGAAAACUAUGCGUCCCCACCGGCCUGAUAAAACUCGCUUAUCUCCCAAGCGCCACCAUCAAUGGCGCGGUUGGGUUACCCAUAUCCGUAUUGAUGAGAAUCCCGGAAUAAGUGGAACACGAUCUCUGCUUCGACAAGACGUGCCAAGGAAACCGCUUCGCUAAACGUGCUGAGAUGGUAUAGUAAAAAACGAUUCAAACAAAGGCUUGGUAGCGGUGUGAUGUCACGCCGCAUAAUACGUCAGCAGAUUGGACUAGUGUACAUUUUAUUAUCUCUACGGGGGAAUGUGGAAUUUAUUUUGCAGAGCCGGACACUAUCCUGGUGUUCAUGAUCUUCUCAGGAUUAUUCAAGGAAGGAACCCGCCUUGCAAUGCCGAACAUUAUGCGCGCCGGACUUAUCGUCAUUGAAGCCUGGUUCAGGGGCUACUGAGGGAGUCCUGGACUAGGGGGUGUCCGGACAGCCGGACUAUCAUCGUCCGCCGGACUCCAAGACUACGAAGAUACAAGAUUGAAGACUCCGUCCCGUGUCCGGAUGGGACUUUCCUUGGCGUGGAAGGCAAGCUUGGCGAUACGGAUAUGUAGAUCUCCUACCAUUGUAACCGACUCUGUGUAACACUAGCCUCCCCCGGUGUCUAUAUAAACCGGAGGGCUUUAGUCCGUAGGACAACAUACAUUACAACAAUCAUACCAUAGGCUAGCUUUAGGGUUUAGCCUCCUUGAUCUCGUGGUAGAUCCACUCUUGUACUACCCAUAUCAUCAAUAUUAAUCAAGCAGGACGUAGGGUUUUGCCUCCAUCAAGAGGGCCCGAACCUGGGUAAAACAUCGUGUCCCUCGUCUCCUGUUACCAUCUGCCUAGACGCACAGUUCGGGACCCCCUACCCGAGAUCCGCCGGUUUUGACACCGACAACUCAUGCUUUUGAAAAUGAAACAGAAGGCUUGGGGUCUCCACAUGGAGGCUCAGUUUAAGGAUAUUGGCGGAAAUAUCUUUGUAUUCUGCUUUGGUGGUGAAGGAGAUGGGAACACCCGUUAAAUAAUGAAUCAUGGCAAUUUGACUUUAACAUUUUAGUGCUGAAGGAUCAUGAGGGGAAUACGAGGCCAUCUAAGAUGGUUUUUGAUAUUGUUGAAGUUUGGGUUCGAGUCAUGGACCUACCACCAGAUAAAUUCUUGGAAAAUUUUGGAAAGGCCCUUGGAAAUUUUCUUGGGGAGGUGAUCAAAGUAGAUGUGGAGAAAGAUGGUUUUGCAAGAGGAAAGCACCUCCGUGUUCAUGCAAGAUACCUUUAGAUGAGUUGCCAGUGAGGGAUUUAUUCUUAAGGUCUUCAUCGGAAGUCUAAAUUGGUAUUUUCUUUGAUUUAUCAUACAAGAAGAUUCCGCACUUCUGUUGAGAAUGUGGUCGGCUCGUUCAUUUAGAUGGUGUUUGUGAGCCACUGGUGAAAUCUAGCUCCCAAUGGGAGAAUGGUUGAGGGAUGCAUCUUUGGGCUUAAGGGUGGAUUCAAUAGGAUGGUGUCUAGCAACACCAACAAUUUUGGUAGCUCGAGGUCGAGUGAGACUAAGCAUGGGAGACACAUGUGUGCUACUAUCCGAGACCUUCCAACCAAGCAUAACCUACAUCGAGAGUUCAUGUCCUCUAGUACCUCUCGCACUGGCGGGGAGUAAAGGGUCGAAUAGGAGGAGGUCAGUAUCCUGAGUAAGUUCAAGCACAACCAGGGGAGAACAAAGAUACGGACUUGAGACAAUAUUUAGAGGAGAAAUGUGAAAGGGAGGUGAGGCAUGACCUGCACCAGCGACUUGCCCAGAGGAGCUUUGCAAAGUAAUAGUACAACAGCAAAGGGACCCCCGCCAAACACACACACGUUCUAGUUUGGAGGAUUUAGGGAGGAGAAGGAGAAGUACAUAUGUAUGCAGGUCGAGAUAGUUUCAUGGUGAACAACAACACAUGACCUCGGCUUAUAAAACUAAACCUGCAAAGAGAAAGAGAAUGCCUAAGCAGUUAUGGACCCAAAGGGAGAUUCAAAUAUGUAGAUUAUUCGUGAUGCGUUCAUUGGUGAUAAGAGGCAAAAAACGACUUUAUUAUUUGACCGUAUGCUUAACAAUAUUAAAAAAGAUUGGCAGACCUUGCCCGAUAGGGCAGCUGGGAGCAAUAAAUCUUCUAGCAUGGAACUGCCAGGGACUUGGGUUGGACUAGGCAGUUGGUGAAUUGUGUGACCUGAUUAGGUCUUACAAUCCAAUGAUGGCUUUCUUAAGCGAAACAAAAAAGUGCUUAGGUACAAUGGAGAAGGUUAAGUGUAGCACGGGUUUCAGGUAGGGUGUAGUUGUGGAUUGCGUGGGAUGGGGGGAGGAUUAGCACUCUGGUGGAGGGAUAACGUGCAAGUAUCAAUUAGGGCAUGGUGACAGUACUAUUUAGAUCCUUCUAUUUAUGUUGAGGGUAAAGCAUGUAGGUUCACUAGAAUCUACGGGGAGCCCUAUACUAAGUAGGGACAGAAAACAUGGGUAACGAUCCAUUACCUUAGGGAUCAACAUGACCUACCAUGGCUCUGUGCAGGAGACUUUAGUGAGGUUUUAUUUCAAUCAGAACAGCUAGGUGGGAACCCGAGAAGCUUUUGUGCAUAUGGAGGGAAUUAGGGAAUGCUUUUCCGACAAUGUCUUAGAAGACCUUGGAUUCUCAGGGUACCCGUAUAUGUGCGAUAACAAGAGAGAUGUGGAGGAGGACAUACAAGUCAGACUAGGCCGGGCCACAUGCAAUGAUGCCUUCAUGCAAAUGUUUCCGGAGACGUCGGUCGAGAAUGUUUCAAUGGAGGAACCGGAACAUGCAACACUAUUCAUUCGAGAUCCAGUGGCACCAGUCACUAGUAUUAAUACAGAGAGAAGGACUUUUAGGUUUGAAGAGAUGUAGACCCUACAUGACUAGUAUGACACCAUGGUGAAUGAAGCAUGCAUGUCAUCCGAGCAAUAGUGGUUUGAUAGGCCUGGAUGUAGUUUGCAAGAAAAUCAAUGUGGUCACAAGGGACAUGCGGGCUUGGAGUCCAGAGGUCUUUGGAUCAAUCAUGCGCCAAAUUGGGAAGCUCAAACAGUAGUUGUGUGGCGCAACGGAAAAGGCCACACAAACUGGUUACCUGUAGGAGGUAAGGGUGAUCGAACAAUAGCUCCAUGAUAUAUACAAGAGUGAGAGAGGAGGUGAUGUACAUGAAACACUGCCAGGGCAUCACAUAGGAAGAGGAAGAACACUGCUAGGGAUUUGUUGCGGGAGGAUGGGACCUGAUGCACCACCGACAAAGAGAUGAGGCACAUGGCUUCCAGCUUCUACAAGAAGUUGCCCACGUUGGAAGGGUCGAUGGAGUUCGGAGUGACUACUUCAAAAUUGAAGGAAUAGUCUUGGAAGAUAUGAAUGUGAUAUUGACAAGAGUCACCACAAAUGAAAAAUUGAGAGAGAAUUGUUCCAAAUGGGGCUGAAUAAAGCAGCCUCCAAAUGGCCUCCCACGAUGUUUUAUCAACGACACUAGCCAUUAAUAUGAGAGGAUGUUUGCAAUGUUGGGGAACGUAGUAUGCAAUUUCAAAAAAAAAUCCUACAGUCACGCAAGACCUAUCUGGGAGAUGCAUAGCAACAAGAGGGGGCGAGUGUGUCCAUGUACCCUCAUAGACCGAAAGCGGAAGCAUCAGCUAACGCAGUUGGUGUAGUCAAACGUCUUCACAAUCCGACCGAUCCAAGUACCGAACAUAUGGCACCUCCGUGUUCAGCACACGUUCAUCUCGAUGACGUCCCUCGAACUCUUGAUCCAGUAGAGGGUCGAGGGAGAGUUCUGUCAGCACGACGGUGUGGCGACGGUGUUGAUGAUGUGAUCCGCGCAGGGCUUUGCCUAAGCACUACAAUGCUAUGACCGGAGGUGUAAACUGUGGAGGGGGGCACCGCACACGGCAAAGAACAAUUGAUGUGUCUUUGGGGUGCCCCCAGCCCACAUAUAUAAAGGAGGAGAGGGAGGAGGCCGGCGGCCUAGAGGGGGCGCGCCUAGGGGGAGCCCAACUAGGAUUCCCAAUCCUAGUUGGUCUCCCUUUCCUAUUCCAAGAAGGGGAAGGAGGGAAGGAGAGUGAGAGAGAGAGAGGGAAAGAGGGGGCCGCACAAUUCGUACUCCCUUGGGGGGGCCACCCUGCGGGCUCCCCUCUCCUACUCCCUUAUGGCCCAUUAAGGCCCAUAACUUCGCCGGGGGGUUCCGGUAACCCCUCGGUUCCCCAAUAAAUAUCUGAAAUGUCCUGAAACCAUUCCGGUGUCCGAAUACCUUCAUCCAGUAUAUCAAUCUUUAUGUCUUGACCAUUUCAAUACUCCUAGUCAUGUCCGUGCUCUCAUCCAGGACUCCGAACAAACUUCGGUCAUCAAAAACAAAUAAAACUUAAUACAAAUCGUCAUCGAACAUUAAGCGUGCGGACCCUACGGGUUCGGGAAUUAUGUAGACAUAAUCAUCUUCGAUCAAUAACCAAUAGCAAAACCUAGAUGCUCAUAUUGGCUCCUACAUAUUCUACGAAGAUCUUUAUCGGUCAAACCGCACAACAACAUACGUUAUUCCCUUUGUCAUCGGUAUGUUACUUUCCCGAGAUUCGAUCGUUAGUAUCAUCAUAGUUCAAUCUCGUUGCCGGCAAGUCUCUUUACUCGUUCUGUAAUGCUUCAUCCUAUAACUAACUCAUUAGUCACAUUACUUUCAAGGCUUAUAGUGAUGAGCAUUAUCGAGAGGGCCCAGAGAUACCUCUCCGAUACACGGUGUGACAAAUCCUAUUCUUGAUCUAUGCCAACCCAACAAACACCUUCGGAGACACCUGUAGAGCAUCUUUAUAAUCACCCAGUUACGUUGUGACGUUUGAUAGAACACAAGGUGUUCCUCCGGUAUUCGGGAGUUGGAUAAUCUCAUAGUCAUAGGACCAUGUAUAAGUCAUGAAGAAAGCAGUAGCCAUAAAACUGUAACGAUCAUAAUGCUAAGCUAAUGGAUGGGUCUUGUCCAUCACAUCAUUCUCUAAUGAUGUGAUCCCGUUCAUCAAAUGACAACACAUGUCUAUGGUUAGGAAACAUAACCAUCUUUGAUUAACGAACUAGUCAAGUAGAGGCAUACUAGGGACAAUAUGUUUUAUCUAUGUAUUCACACAUGUACUAAGUUUUCGGUUAAUACAAUUCUAGCAUGAAUAAUAAACAUUUAUCAUGAUAUAAGCAAAUAUAAAUAACAACUUUAUUAUUGCCUCUAGGGCGUAUUUCCUUCAUGCAAGGUGGUCAAGGAUUUUCUUUCCGAAGUGGUGGAAGACAAUGCUUUUAUUGGCACAGUGAUUGUAAUGAUUACAAAAGUAAACUCACUGGAAUUCCUUUCCUAGUUUCCGUAAAUGCAUCUAGUGCCACCCCUAGUUGGUUUUGGAGUAUUGACGACAAACGUGGUUGAGGGACUAAUGUGUUUGUGAGAAUUGCACGAUAACAUAGGUAGUAGUCCCUCAUUGAUUCGGUUUACCUACUACAGAUGACCCCUAAAAAUGUGUGAAGACAUUGAAGACAAUGGUGGUUUGUGAAGACAUUCACGACGAAGAUUAUGACUUGUGAAGAUAUUCACUUGAAGACUAUGGAGUGCAACGACAUAGCUGUUUUGUAGUUUCCUUUAUUCUUUAUUGAGUCAAAGGAACCACCAUACUGUUAAGCGGGGUACAAGUGAACAAAGUUAGAGUGACUGAAGUGAUGCUCAACCAAAUCCUAUGUCUUCGAAUGAAGACAAUGAGAGCAAACCUUAUCCAGAGCUGGAUGGGUCAGCUUUGCUUGUUGCCCAAGCCAAGCUGCCGCGUGUGUUUGAAAUCUGACCGUUGGACACGUGUCAGUUCCUUAGUGACCCAGGGUCAUUUCGGACAUAUUAGGUCAGGUUGCCUCCUGGCUAUAAAUAGCCCACCUCCUACACCAUAAAUUGGUGGCUGCUAAGAGUUAGUGCACGGCUUUUGUCGUUUGAGAGCAACCCACCUCCGAAGCAUUUGAGACAGAGAUCCUCGCGAGGACAAAGCCCAAAACACCCAGAUCCAAAGAGUGUUAGGCAUCACUGAAGUCUUUCUAUCUACGUGAUCUGAAGACUUGUUACACUUGAGGACUAUGAAUCCUCCAGCCGGUUAGGCGUCACAUUCUGAGCAUCCAAGAGUCAUUGUGGAUUGCCGGUGAACGAAGUCUGUGAAGGUUUGGAAGUCUACCUCGAAGACUUACCAAAGUGAUUGGGUGAGGACUGGGUGUCCUUAGCUCAAGGAGAAUAAGGUGAAGACACAGUCUUCUGAGUUCAAUCUCAGCCUCCCUAACCAGACGUACAGUUGUCACAGCAACUGGAACUGGUCUACCAAAUCCUUGUCUUCACCAAGCAACUAGUUCUAUCCCCUACUCUCCUUACUUUACAGUUUGUCUUCCUGAAGUCAUUGCUUGCCUGCCUGAUUCAUUUGACUUCAUUGUGUGAAGACUUAUAUCUGUUUAGCUACGUACUAUCUUCCAUACUAAUCAUGUCUACCUAGUUGUAGUUAGUCUUCGUGCUUUAACUGUAUUGUAUGCUUGACUAAUGCUUGCCUAGUGUAGUCUUCAUUCCGCUUCUUACUAUAUAGGCUUAUUUUACUUGUUUGUCUUCAAAGCCACCGUGUUUUGAAGACUUUCAUUAAAAUCGCCUAUUCACCCCCCCCCCUCUAGUCAAUAACUAGCACUUUCAAUUGGUAUUAGAGCAAGGUACUCCCUUGUUCUGUGUGAUUCGGUUUAACCACCUAGAGUUUUAGCUAUGUCGACUGCAGGGAUAAUCAAGGUCUCCGUUGCGUGCCCCGUCUUUGAUGGCACUGACUACCCCUAUUGGAAGAACAAGAUGCGCAUGCAUCUUGAAGCCAUUGAUGUUGAUCUCUGGUAUGUCAUCAAGACUGGCAUUCUGAUACAUCUCCAACGUAUCUAUAAUUUUUUAUUGUUCCAUGCUAUUAUAUUAUCUGUUUUGGAUGUUUAAUGGGCUUUAUUAUACACUUUUAUGCUAUUUUUGGGACUAACCUAUUAACCGGAGGCCCAGUCCAAAUUGUUUUUUUUGCCUAUUUCAGUGUUUUGCAGAAAAGGAAUAUCAAACAGAGUCCAAAUGGAAUGAAACCUUCGGGAGAGUCGUUUUUGGAACAAGCACAAUCCAGGAGACUUGGAGUGGACGUCAAGGAAGCAAUAAGGCCGCCACGAGGCAGGGAGGCGCGCCCCCCACCCUCAUGGGCCCCUCGUGGCUCCCCUGACCGACUUCUUUCUCCUAUGUAUAUACUCAUAUACCCUGAAAACAUCCGAGAGCACCACAAAACCCUAUUUCCACCGCCGCAACCUUCUGUACCCAUGAGAUCCCAUCUUGGGGCCUUUUUUGGCGCUCCGCCGGAGGGGGAAUCGAUCACGGAGGGCUUCUACAUCAACACCACAGCCUCUCCGAUGAUGUGUGAGUAGUUUACCUCAGACCUUCGGGUCCAUAGUUAUUAGCUAGAUGGCUUCUUCUCUCUCUUUGGAUCUCAAUACAAAGUUCUCCUCGAUCUUCUUGGAGAUCUAUUCGAUGUAAUUCUUUCUACGGUGUGUUUGUCGAGAUUCGAUGAAUUGUGGGUUUAUGAUCAAGAUUAUCUAUGAACAAUAUUUGAAUCUCCUCUGGAUUCUUUUAUGUAUGAUUUGCUAUCUUUGCAAGUCUCUUCGAAUUAUCAGUUUGGUUUGGCCUACUAGAUUGAUCUUUCUUGAAAUGGGAGAAGUGCUUAGCUUUGGGUUCAAUCUUGCGGUGUCCUUUCCCAGUGACAGCAGGGGCAGCAAGGCACGUAUUGUAUUGUUGCCAUCGAGGAUAAAAAUAUGGGGUUUAUAUCAUAUUGCUUGAGUUUAUCCCUCUACAUCAUGUCAUCUUGCCUAAUGCGUUACUCUGCUCUUAUGAACUUAAUACUCUAGAUGCAUGCUGGAUAGCGGUCGAUGUGUGGAGUAAUAGUAGUAGAUGCAGAAUCGUUUCGAUCUACUUGUCGCGGACGUGAUGCCUAUAUAAAUGAUCAUGCCUAGAUAUUCUCAUAACUAUGCACUUUUCUAUCAAUUGCUCGACAGUAAUUUGUUCACCCACCAUACUACUUAUGCUAUCUUGAGAGAAGCCACUAGUGAAACCUAUGGCCCCUGGGUCUAUUUUCCAUCAUAUAAGUUUCUGAUCUAUUUUAUUUUGCAAUCUUUACUUUCCAGUCUAUAUCAUAAAAAUACCAAAAAUAUUUAUCUUAUUAUCUCUAUCAGAUCUCACUUUUGCAAGUGGCCGUGAAGGGAUUGACAACCCAUUUAUCGCGUUGGUUCCAAGGUUCUUAUUUGUUUGUGCAGGUACGAGGGAUUUGAGUGUAGCCUCCUACUGGAUUGAUACCUUGGUUCUCAAAAACUGAGGGAAAUACUUACGCUACUUUGCUGCAUCACCCUUUCCUCUUCAAGGGAAAACCAACACAUGCUCAAGAGGUAGCAUGUUCCCAAAGUCAGUGAAGGCGUCACCGCUGCUGAUGUCAAGGGAUUUGCGCAAUUGGACUCAACCGCCAAGAACACCAUCUGUGGUCAUCUGACCAAAGGCAGUAUGGUCGUGUGAGUGCACUGGAAACUGCAAAGCUGGUCUGGGACUGGCUGUCCAAGGUCAAUGAAGGCGUCUCAACUCAGAUAGAUUCAAGAAUCGAUGUUCUUCGCAAUCUCUUCAACCACUUGAAGAGAAAUGACAAUGAAAAUGUCCAGCUCACGUUCAAUCGCUUGACUGAUAUCACCAAUGAGCUUCGUGCUCUCGACGCCACUGAAAUCACCAAGCAUGAGAUCGUGAAGAAGCUUCUGAGAUCACUUGAUAGCUCGUUUGACACCUUAGCCCUGAUGAUACAAGAACGUCCCGACUUCAAAGAUCUCGAUCCGUCUGACAUACUUGAGAGGCUCAACACACAUGAGUUCCAGCUAUCUGAGAAGCGUGACAUCUAUGGUCCUAACUAUGGCCGAACUCGUGCCCUGAAGGCAAAAGUUGUUUCCUCACCUGAAGAAGAAUUUGAAUGUAGCUCUAGUGAUCCUGAAGAUCUUGGCAAAGAUCUUUCAAUGCUUGUGAGGAAGUUCCAGAAGUUCUCCAAGAAGAAUCGGUUCAGCAAGUCUUCAAGAUCUAGCUCAAAGAACGACGAAGCUUCAUCACGUGAAUACAAGAAUAGAACUUGCCACAAAUGCAAGAAGAUAUGCCACUACAUCUUUGAGUGUCCUCGGUGGGAUAAGGAAUCGAACAAGAAGAAGAAGAGCAAGGAAUAUGAUUCUCAUGACAAGAAGAAGAAGAAAUCAUCAAAAUCGUCUUCAAAGUCUUCGUCAAAGUCUUCAUCUCACAAGAAGACCUCAUCAAGCAAGGCUCGUGCAUUUAUUGGCAACGAGAUGGAUUCAGAGGAGGAGUCUGCCUUUGAGGAGGCAGAGGUGGAGUCCCAGGAGGAGUCUGAUUCAGGCGUGGCAAGCCUGGCUCUGGCGUCAGCGUUUGUCGCUAAGUCAAUCUUCAACACUGAAGACAAUGGUCACAACGUUCAAGCCAAAGUUGACGAUGAUGAUGAUGACGACUCUGCUCCAACCUACUACUUCAUGGCACGUGGUGCCAAGGGAAAGGCCUCCAGCCAGAAAGCAAAAUCUUCUGACGACAAUGCUGGAGACCUAAAACAUCUUGUGGGACGCAAGAUAAAAUGCUCCAAUGGUCUUAUCAUGUAUUUCGUCCAAGGGUUCCUUGAUGAGCAUCCUAUCAUGCCUAAUCAGAAUUUAAACUUUGAUAAUAUGCUUGUUCACUACAUGUUUCUGCUUCACAAUACUCUUGGUGAAGCCUAUCCCGCUAACUGCACUGUAGGGUACAACUCCGAAAGCCACUGAAUGGAUCAUGGACAGCGGCUGCACCAACCACAUGACUGGUGAUCGAAGUCUUCUUAUGGAUUCAACCCUGCGUCCAUCUACUAAGAGCCACAUCAUAUUUGCUGACACUGGUAAAAGCAAGGUAUUGGGUCUUGGUAGAGUUGCUAUCUCAAAGGAUCAACACAUGGAUGAAGUGAUGCUUGUUGAAUCCCUUGGAUACAUCUUAAUGUCUGUGUCAAUGCUCUGUGAUCUGAACAUGAUUGUGAUAUUUGGAAAAUAUCAUUGUCUUGUGCUAAUGGAAUCUGACAAAUCUCAAAGAGGUGAUUUGUAUAUGGUAGAUUUCUCAGUAGGACCACAGCUUGUCGUAUGUCUUCUAGCAAAGGCUUCAGAAUGCUGGCUAUAGCAUCGACGGCUAGGACAUGCGGGCAUGAGGAACCUAUACACUCUCGCGAAGAAGAAGCACAUCAUUGCCAUCGAGGGCGUCAAGUUCAAGAAGGAUCAUCUAUGUGGUGCAUGUGAAGCUAGAAAGAUGACUAGAGCCAAGCAUCCCUCGAAGACAAUCAUGACUACCUCACGUCCCUUCGAGCUGCUUCACAUGGACCUAUUUGGCCCUACUCACUACUCUACACUUACUACUACUUCACAUCUCUAUGGCUUCGUUAUUUUGAUGAUUACUCGAGAUACACCUAGGUACACAUAAUUCUCUAUAAGAUUGAAGUGCAGGAUGUCUUCAGACGCUUCGCAAAUUGCGCUACGACGAAUUAUGGCAUCAAGAUCAAGCACAUCCAGAGUGACAAUGGCACUGAGUUCAAGAACGUUGGCCUCGACACUUAUUUUGAUACUUUGGGCAUCACACAUGAGUUCUCUGCUCCUUACACACCUCAGUAGAAUGGCGUCGUGGAGCGCAAGAACAGAACGCUCAUUGAGAUGGCACGGACGAUGCUCGAUGAAUACAAGACUCCAAGAAAAUUCUGGCCCGAAGCCAAUGACACUGCAUGCCACAUCAUCAAUAGAGUAUAUCUUCACAAGUUCUUCAAGAAAACAUCUUCUGAACUUCUGACUGGUAAGAAGAAAAAUGUCAGUUACUUCAAAGUCUUUGGUGCUAGGUGCUGGAUCAAGGAUCCACAUCACACGUCUAAAUUCGCAUCGAAAGCACAUGAAGGUUUUAUGCUUGGUUACGGAAAGGACUCGCACACCUACGGAGUCUUCAAUCUCUUUCACUACAAAGUGGUUCAAACUGUAGAUGUGUGGUUCGAUGAAACUAAUAGCUUGAGAGAGCACCUGCCAAAUGUGCUAGAUGAAGCUACACGAGGUGAAGCUAUCAAGCUAAUGGGUAUUGGAGAAAUCAUACCACCGAGGAACAGGUUGAGGAUGAGAUCAUCAUUUCUGCACCAAAUCAACAUGAAGACAAUGGUCAGUCUGAAGCCAAUGCUGAAGACGAAUACAAUAGUCAGUCUGAUCAAAAUCUUCGUCCUGCUCAUCCUCGAGUCGCCAAUGAAGUCCAGAUUGAGAAGAUAAUUGAUAGCAUUAAUGCUCCUGGUCCUCUCACUCAAUCAAGAGCUACACAACUAGCAAACUUCUGCGGUCACUUUGCUUUUGUCUCUAUAUAUGAACCCAAGAAAGUCAAAGAAGCCUUCAUGGAACCUGAAUGGAUUCAAGCUAUGCAAGAAGAGCUUCAACAGUUUGAGCUGAAUAAUGUCUGGGAGCUUGUCAAACGUCCUGAUCCUCACAAGCACAACAUCAUUUGCACGAAAUGGAUCUAUAGCAACAAACAAGAUGAACUUGGUCAAGUUGUCAGAAACAAGGCUCUCCUUGUAGCUCAAGGUUACACACAAGUGGAAGGAAUUGACUUCGAUGAAACCUUUGCUCCCAUGGCUAGGCUUGAAGCCAUUCGAAUAUUGUUGGCCUAUGCUAACCAUCACAACGUUAUUCUGUACCAAAUGGAUGUGAAGAGUGCCUUUCUCAACGGCAAAAUCGAAGAAAAAGUGUAUGUCGCUCAACCGCCUGGUUUCGAAGAUCCUAAGCAUCCUAAUAUGGUGUACAAUCUCAACAAGGCACUAUAUGGCCUCAAACAAGCACCUUGCGCUUGGUAUGACACACUCAAAGAAUUCCUAAAGAGCAAAGGCUUCAAACCUAGUUCUCUAGAUCCCACUCUCUUCACGAAGACAUAUGAUGGUGAACUGUUUGUGUGUCAAAUAUAUGUGUAUGACAUUAUCUUCGAAUGCAUCGAUAAGAGAUAUAGUGAUGAGUUUGGAUACAUGAUGCAAGAGCAAUAUCAGAUGUCCAUGAUGGGAGAGCUAAAGUUCUUCCUUGGUCUUCAAAUCCGUCAACAGCACAAUGGCAUCUUUAUAUCACAAGAAAAAUACCUUAAAUAUUUCCUGAAAAAGUUUGGAAUGCAAGACUACAAAGGGUACACGACGCCAAUGCCAACCAAAAGUCAUCUUGGCCCUGAUCGACAAUGGUAAAGAGUUUGAUCAAAAGGUAUACCGCUUCAUGAUUGGUUCUUUGCUAUACUUAUGUGCAUCUAGGCCUGAUAUUAUGCUUUGCAUUUGCAUGUGUGCCCGAUUCCAAGCAGCACCAAAGGAAUCGCAUCACCUUGUUGUGAAGCGAAUUCUUCGAUAUCUGGAUCACACCCCGACACUAGGAUUAUGGUAUGCAAAGGGCUCAUCGUUUGAUCUAGUUGGAUACUCUGAUGUUGAUUAUGCUGGUGACAAGGUUGAUCGCAAGUCUACAUCAGGCACAUGUCACUUUCUUGGACGAUCUCUUGUUUGUUGGUCUUCAAAGAAGCAGAACUGUGUAUCCCUCUCCGCCACUGAAUCUGAAUACAUUGCUGCUAGAUCUUGCUAUGCUCAGCUUCUCUGGAUGAAGCAAACUCUCAGGGACUACGGCAUCAACACAAAGAAUGUGCCACUCUUCUGCGACAAUGAAAGCACCAUCAAGAUUGCCAAGAAUCCAGUUCAGCACUCAAAGACAAAGCACAUUGAGAUUUGUUAUCACUUUCUCAGAGAUCAUAUCAAAAAGGAAGACAUUGAUAUCAUUCACGUCAACACUGAAGAGCAACUGGCAUACAUCUUCACUAAGCCCUUGGAUGAGAAGAGGUUUUGCAAGCUGCGGUGUGAGAUAAAUAUCUUAGAAUCCUCAAAUGUCCAGUGAAUGGACACACAUCCUAACACUUAUGCAUGUUGAUGACUUAGAUGUGCAACACACAAAGUAAUGUAUUUCUUCAAUCAAUGAAGACUUACCCUCUGAGUGUGAAUACAUUAAUGUGGGAUUUGACUUCGGAGCGCCACGAUAAUCUUGCGCCGUGUCUGGGUCUAAUACUUCCUAUACGGUGGGUAACACCACCACCACACCUUCUUGAAGAUUUUCAUUUGGCAUCACGAUUGCAUUAUCUUCACAUUUGGAUUGUCUUCAACAUUGAUUUAUCUUCAAAAUCUAUAUCUUCGCAAUGUUGAUUUAUCUUCAAUACUAUAUAUGUGUGUGUUUUGUCCUCUACAACAUUCACUUAUAGCUAUGUCUUCACAUUGCUAUUUUUCUGACCUAAGUGAAUGUGAUCGGACCCUAAUCCCUUCUGUGCUACUCCCUCAAAUUUUGUGUGUCUAAGUCAUAUGCAUUCUGUUGACACUUGUCGAAUAUCUUCUUUGUGUCCUGAUACGUCUCCAACGUAUCUAUAAUUUUUGAUUGCUCCAUGCUACUUUAUCUACUGUUUUAGGCAAUAUUGGGCUUUACUAUCCACUUUUAUAUUAUUUUUGGGACUAACCUGUUAACCGGAGGCCCAGCCCAGAUUUGCUGUUUUAUGCCUAUUUCAGUGUUUCGAGGAAAAGGAAUAUCAGACGGAGUCAAAAUGGAACGAAAUCAACUGGAGAAGUUAAUUUUGGAAGGAAACCAAUCCGUUGGGCUUGGAGUGCACGUCAGGGGAUUCCCGGGCUGCCCACGAGGGUGGGGGCACGCCCCUCCCCCUGGGCGCGCCCCCCUACCUCGUGAGCCCCCCGGAGGUCCACCGACGUACCCCCUGCACCCAUAUAUACCUACGUACCCUAAAACUUCUAGAACAGAAGAUAGAUCGGGAGUUCCGCCGCCGCAAGUCUCUGUAGCCACCAAAAACCUCUCGGGAGCCCUUUCUGGCGCCCUGCCGUGGGGAUCCCAUCACCGGUGGCCAUCUUCAUCAUCCCGGCGCUAUCCAUGACGAGGAGGGAGUAGUUCACCCUCUGGGCUGAGGGUAUGUACCAGUAGCUAUGUGUUUGAUCUCUCUCUCUCGUGUUCUUGAGGUGAUACGAUCUUGAUGUAUCCCGAGCUUUGCUAUUGUAGUUGGAUCUUAUGAUGUUUCUCCCCCUCUACUCUCUUGUGAUGAAUUGAGUUUCCCUUUGAAGUUAUCUUAUCGGAUUGAGUCUUUUAUGAACACUUGAUGUAUGUCUUGCGUGGGAUAACCGUGGUGACAAUGGGUUAUUCUAUUGAUCCACUUGAUGUAUGUUUUGGUGAUCAACUUGCGGGUUUCGUGACACUUGGGAACCUAUGCAUAGGGGUUGGCACACGUUCUUGACUCUCCGGUAGUAGCUUUGGGGCACUUUUUGAAGUGCUUUUAUGUUGGUUGGAUGAAUCUAAGAUUGUGUGAUGCAUAUCGUAUAAUCAUGCCCACGGAUACUUGAGGUGACAAUGGAGUAUCUUGGUGACAUUAGGGUUUUGGUUGAUUUGUAUCUUAAGGUGUUAUUCUAGUACGAACUCUUUUAUAGAUCGAUCCGAAAGAAUAGCUUUGUGGUGGUUUCGUACCCGACCAUAAUCUCUACGUUUGUUCUCCGCUAUUAGUGGCGUUGGAGUGACUCUUUGUUGCAUGUUGAGGGCUUGUCAUAUGUUCUAUCUAUGUUAUUAUUGUUGAGAGAACUUACACUAGUGAAAGUAUGAACCCUAGGCCUUGUUUCCUAUCAUUGCAAUACCGUUUACGCUCACUUUUACCGCUUGUUACCUUGCUAUUUUUAUUAUUUCAGAUUACAGAAACCUAUAUCUACUAUCUAUUUUGCACUUGUAUCACCAUCUCUUCGCCGAACUAGUGCACCUAUACAAUUUACCAUUGUAUUGGGUGUGUUGGGGACACAAGAGACUCUUUGUUAUUUGGUUGCAGGGUUGCUUGAGAGAGACCAUCUUCAUCCUACGCCUCCUAUGGAUUGAUAAACCUUAGGUCAUCCACUUGAGGGAAAUUUGCUACUGUCCUACAAACCUGUGCACUUGCAGGCCCAACAACGUCUACAAGAAGAAGGUUGUGUAGUAGACAUCAAACUCUUUUCUGGCGCCGUUGCCGGGGAGGCUAGGUAAAGGGUACUCACACUCCGUCACUAAGCUCUUUUCUGGCGAGGUGAGUGCUUGAAGGUAUAUCUUUAGAUCUUGCAAUCGAAUCUUUUUGUUUCUUGUUUUAUCACUAGUCUAGUUUAUAAAAGAAAAUUAUAAAAAUAAUAAUAAAUGGAAUUGAGUUUGUCUCAUACGCUUCACCUUUUAAUAUCUUUCAUGAGUAUGAUGGAAAAGAAAAUUGUGCUCAAGUGCUAGAAGAAGAAUUACAUAGAAUUCUUGGCAUGAAAUAUGUGAAUGAUGAGCAUGAUUGCAAUGUUGUUAGUACGAAUUCCUUGAAUAUCCAUGAUGCUAAUGAUAUGCAAAGCCACAAGCUUGGGGAAGCUAUGUUUGAUGAAGAUGAUAUUUUUUGUCCCCCAAGUUUUGAUGAGCAAAUUUACUAUGAUGAAAGCAUGCCUCCUAUCUAUGAUGAUUAUUGUGAUGAUACGUAUGCCAUAAAGAAGAAUUUUGCUUAUGUGGAGAGUAGUAAAUUUUCUAUGCUUGUAGGUCAUGAAAAGAAUGCUUUAGGUGCUGGUUAUCUUGUUGAAUUCAUUCAUGAUGCUACUGAAAAUUAUUAUGAGGGAGGAACAUAUACUUGUAGGAAUUGCAAUAAUGCCAAAUUUCCUCUCUAUGCGCUUAAAUUUUUGAAGUUAUGCUUGUUUAGCCUUCCUAUGCUUGUUGAUUAUUGUUCCCAUAAGUUGUUUGCUCACAAAAUCCCUAUGCAUAGGAAGUGGGUUAGACUUAAAUGUGCUAGUCAUAUGCUUCAUGAUGCUCCCGUUAUGUUUCAAUUCUUAUCUUUUAUGUGAGCAUCAUUGUCAUCAUCAUGCCUAGCUAGAAAGGCAUUAAAGAAAAACGCUUGUUGGGAGACAACCCAAUAUGUAUCCCUACUGUUUUUGUGUGUAAACAUGAUUAUGCUACUGUAGUAAUCAUGUUUUAUAGCUUUUGUUUCAAUAAAGUGCCAAGUAGAACCUUUGGGAAGACUUGGGUGAAGUUUAUGUGAUCUUGCUGUGAAAAACAGAAACUUUAGCGCUCACGAGAAUAGCUGCCAUUUUUUAAUGGGGAGUGCUUUUAGGUUGAUUCUUUUUGCAGAUGAUUAAUAGACAAAUUUCUCAGGUCCAGAAAUUUAUUUCAUAAUUUGUGGGGUUCCAGAAGUAUACGUUUUAUAUAUAUUACUACAGACUGUUCUGUUUUUGACAGAUUCUGUUUUCUAUGUGUUGUUUGCUUAUUUUGAUGAAUCUAUGAGUAGUAUCGGAGGGUAUGAACCAUAGAUAAGUUGGAGUACAGUAGAUAUUACACCAAUAUGAAUUUAUAAUGAGUUCAUUAUAGUACCUAAGUGGUGGUUUUAUUUUCUUAUACUAACGGAGCUUACGAGUUUUGUUUUGAGUUUUGUGUGGUUGAAGUUUUCAAGUUUUGGGUAAGGAUUCGAUGGACUAUGGAAUAAGGAGUGGCAAGAGCCUAAGCUUGGGGAUGCCCAUGGCACCCCAAGGUAAUAUUCAAGGACAACCAAGCAACUAAGCUUGGGGAUGCCCCGGAUGGCAUCCCCUCUUUCGUCUUCGUUCAUCGGUAACUUUACUUGGAGCUAUAUUUUUAUUCACCACAUGAUAUGUGUUUUGCUUGGAGCGUCAUUUUAUUUUGUUAGUAUUUGCUUGCUGUCAGUUAGAAUUGUGUUUUGCCUCUUUAGUUUCAAUAAAAAAAGUCAAGGAUAGACUUUGCCAUGCUUAUUUUGCUAGUUUGCAUGUUGCUGUUUGAAAACAGAAAGUUUACCGCUGUUGCAAAAAUUCCCUAGAAAAGUCAGAGCAUGGUCUAAUGUUGAAUCUUUUUUCAUAUUGAGCUAUGAUAAAUUUAUUACAGCGGGAAUUUUAGUUCAUAAUUUUUGGAGUCAGGGAAGUAUUGAUACUCUUGCAUUCUUUACAGACUGUACUGUUUUGACAGAUUGCUGUUAUGGUUGCAUUGUUUGCAUAUGUUUGUUUGUUUAAUGAUUCUAUUUGAGGAUAGGAGUAUUAAAUAUACAGAGGCAUUUAGUAUGCAAUGUUGAAUAAUAAUUUUAGUGAUUUGUUACAAUAUAAAAUGAUAAGGUUUUGCAUUGGUUUAUACUAACCUAUCUCACGAGUUCUUGUUGAGUUUGUUGUGAAUGAAGCUUUUGAUAAAAAGAGAAACCAUGAUAUGAGAGGAAUUAAGGAGACACAAAAGUUCAAGCUUGGGGAUGACCAAGGCACCCCAAGAUAAUAUUUCAAGAAGUCUCAAGCAUCUAAGCUUGGGGAUGCCCCGGUAGGCAUCCCACCUUUCUUCUUCAACAACUAUCGGUUAGUAUCGGUUGAGCCUAAGUUUUUGCUUCUUCACAUGAGUUGUGCUAUCCUUGCAAUGUAGUUUUCUUUAGCUUUGCUUGCUGUUUGAAUGAAGUAUCAAGAUCUAAAAUUAUUAAAUGAGAGAGAGUCUUCGCAUAGUUGCAAAAUUAUUUAGCUACUCAUUGAUCUUCACUUAUAUCUUUCGGGGUAGUUUUUGUUAUUGCUCUAGUGUUUCACUUAGAUCUUUUAGAGCAUGGUGGUGGCUUUGUUUUAAAGAAACUAUUGAUCUCUCAUGCUUCACUUAGAUUAUUUUGAGAGUCGUUAAUAGCAUGGUAAUUUUCUUAAUGUUAAUAUACUUGGUGUUCAAGAUAUGUGAAACUUUCUUUUGAGUGCGUUGAAUACUAAGAAAAGUUUGAUGCUUGAUAAUUGUUUUGAGAUAUGGAGGUGAUAAUAUCAAAGUCGUGCUAGUUGGGUGAUUAUGAAUUUGAAGAAUGCUUGUGUUGAAGUUUGCAAGUCCCGUAGCAUGCACGUAUGGUUAAAGUUGUGUAACAAAUUUGAAACAUGAAGUGUACCUGGCUUGUGCAUCCUUAUGAGUGGCGGUCGGGGAUGAGCGAUGGUCUUUUCCUACCAAUCUAUCCCCCUAGGAGCAUGCACGUAGUACUUGAUUUUUGAUGGCUUCUAAAUUCUUGCAAUAAGUAUAUGAGUUCUUUUGACUAAUGUUGAGUCCAUGGAUUAUACGCACUCUCACCUUUCCGCCUUUGCGAGCCUCUUUGGUACUGUGCUUCGCCCUCUCUCACCUUGAGAGUUGGUGCAAACUUCACCGGUGCAUCCAAACCCCGUGAUACGAUACGCUCUAUCACACAUAAAACUCCUUAUAUCUUCCUCAAAACAGCCACCAUACCUACCUAUCAUGGCAUUUCCAUAGCCAUUCCGAGAUAUAUUGCCAUGCAACUUUCCACCGUUCCGUUCAUCAUCAUCAUGACAUGCAUUACUUUUGUCAUAUUGCCAUUGCAUGAUCCUGUAGUUGACAUCGUAUUUGUGGCAAAGCCACCAUGCAUUAUUUUUCAUACAUGUCACUCUUGAUUCAUUGCACCAUCCCGGUACACCGCCGGAGGCAUUCAUAUAGAGUCAUAUCUUGUUCUAGUAUCGAGUUGUAAUUCAUAUGUUGUAAUGAAAGUGUGAUGAUCAUCAUUAGAGCAUUGCCCAAAUAAAAAAAGAAAGGCCAAAAAAAAGAAAGGCCCAAAAAAAGAGAAAGGCCAAAAAAAAGGGAAGGCCCAAAAAAAAGAAAAAGAAAAUAAAUAAAAAGGGCAAUGCUACUUUUUUUCCACACUUGUGCUUCAAAGUAGUACCUUGUUCUUCAUAUAGUGAGUCUCAUAUAUUGUGCUUCAAAGUAGCACCAUGUUUUUCAUAUAGUGAGUCUCAUAAGUUGUCUUGUUCAUACUAGUGGGAAUUUUUCAUUAUAGAACUUGGCUUGUAUAUUCCUACAAUGGGCUUCCUCAAAUGCCCUAGGUCUUCAUGAGCAAGCGAGUUGGAUGCACACCCACUAGUUUUCUUUUGUUGAGCAUUCAUAGCUCUAGUGCAUCCGUUGCAUGGUAAUCCCUACUCCUCAUGUUGACAUUAAUUGAUGGGCAUAUCCAUAGCCCGUUGAUUAGCCUCGUCAAUGUGAGACUUUCUCCUUUUUUUGUCUUCUCCACACAAUCCCCAUCAUCAUAUUCUAUUCCACCCAUAGUGCUAUAUCCAUGGCUCACGCUCAUGUAUUGCGUGAAGGUUGAAAAAGUUUGAGAUUAUUUAAGUAUGAAACAAUUGCUUGGCUUGUCAUCGGGGGUAUAGAAGUUGGGAACAUCUUUGUGUGACGAAAAUGAAGCAUAGCCUAACUAUAUGAUUUUGUAGGGAUGAACUUUCUUUUGCCAUAUUAUUUUGAGAAGACAUGAUUGCUUUGAUUAGUAUGCUUGAAGUAUUAUUAUUUUUGUGUCAAUAUGAACUUUUGUCUUGAAUCUUUCGGAUCUGAAUAUUCUUAUCACAAUUAAGAAGAUUUACAUUGAAAUUAUGCCAAAGUAUCACUCCGCAUCAAAAAUUCUUUUUUAUCAUUUACCUACUCGAGGACGAGCAGGAAUUAAGCUUGGGGAUGCUUGAUACGUCUCCAAUGUAUCUAUAAUUUUUGAUUGCUCCAUGCUACUUUAUCUACUGCUUUAGGCAAUAUUGGGCUUUAUUAUCUACUUUUAUAUUAUUUUUGGGACUAACCUAUUAACCGGAGGCCCAGCCCAGAUUUGCUGUUUUAUGCCUAUUUCAGUGUUUCGAGGAAAAGGAAUAUCAGACGGAGUCAAAACGGAACGAAAUCAACUGGAGAAGUUAAUUUUGGAAGGAAACCAAUCUGUUGGGCUUGGAGUGCACGUCAGGGGAUUCCCGAGCUGCCCACGAGGGUGGGGGGCGCGCCCCUCCCCCCUGGGCGUGCCCCCCUACCUCGUGAGCCCCCCGGAGGUCCACCGACGUACCCCCUGCACCCAUAUAUACCUACGUACCCUAAAACUUCCAGAAUAGAAGAUAGAUUGGGAGUUCCGCCACCGCAAGUCUCUGUAGCCACCAAAAACCUCUCGGGAGCCCUUUCCGGCGCCCUGCCGGGGGGGAUCCCAUCACCGGUGGCCAUCUUCAUCAUCCCGGCGCUAUCCAUGACGAGGAGGGAGUAGUUCACCCUCGGGGCUGAGGGUAUGUACCAGUAGCUAUGUGUUUGAUCUCUCUCUCUCGUGUUCUUGAGGUGAUACGAUCUUGAUGUAUCCCGAGCUUUGCUAUUGUAGUUGGAUCUUAUGAUGUUUCUCCCCCUCUACUCUCUUGUGAUAAAUUGAGUUUCCCCUUUGAAGUUAUCUUAUCGGAUUGAGUCUUUUAUGAACACUUGAUGUAUGUCUUGCGUGGGAUAACCGUGGUGACAAUGGGUUAUUCUAUUGAUCCACUUGAUGUAUGUUUUGGUGAUCAACUUGCAGGUUUCAUGACACUUGGGAACCUAUGCAUAGGGGUUGGCACACGUUUUUGACUCUCCGGUAGUAGCUUUGGGGCACUUUUUGAAGUGCUUUUAUGUUGGUUGGAUGAAUCUGAGAUUGUGUGAUGCAUAUCGUAUAAUCAUGCCCACGGAUACUUGAGGUGACAAUGGAGUAUCUAGGUGACAUUAGGGUUUUGGUUGAUUUGUGUCUUAAGGUGUUAUUAUAGUACGAACUCUUUUAUAGAUCGAUCCGAAAGAAUAGAUUUGUGGUGGUUUCGUACCCGACCAUAAUCUCUACGUUUGUUCUCCGCUAUUAGUGGCUUUGGAGUGACUCUUUGUUGCAUGUUGAGGGCUUGUCAUAUGUUUUAUCUAUGUUAUUAUUGUUGAGAGAACUUACACUAGUGAAAGUAUGAACCCUAGGCCUUGUUUCCUAUCAUUGCAAUACCGUUUACGCUCACUUUUACCGCUUGUUACCUUGCUGUUUUUAUUAUUUCAGAUUACAAAAACCUAUAUCUACUAUCUAUUUUGCACUUGUAUCACCAUCUCUUCGCCGAACUAGUGCACCUAUACAAUUUACCACUGUAUUGGGUGUGUUGGGGACACAAGAGACUCUUUGUUAUUUGGUUGCAGGGUUGCUUGAGAGAGACCAUCUUCAUCCUACGCCUCCUACGGAUUGAUAAACCUUAGGUCAUCCACUUGAGGGAAAUUUGCUACUGUCCUACAAACCUGUGCACUUGCAGGCCCAACAACGUCUACAAGAAGAAGGUUGUGCAGUAGACAUCAUGUCCUUGUCAGCGGAAGAUACAAAGACACACUUCUAAAACUGCUUUUAAUGUCUUAUCUCUUGCCUGAACACUGGAGAAGCCGGAACGACCACCCGACAAUCCAGGCGUGCGUGGAAACAUGAUUCAACUCCUGAUAAGUUGCAUGCAUGCCACGUGUCGUUUAGAUGUGAACCGCCAGGGGCACGUGCGUAAUUACACUGCGUCGCCCUCCUCCUUAUAAAUACUAGCCCCCUUGCGGUCAAUAUCUCCUCUUCCACCUCUCCACCUUGCUCAAACCCUAGCGCCACCGCUAGCUAGCUUGUGUCGACGCUGAAGAUGAAGCGCUUAGCUGCAGCGACCUCUUCGAUGUCGUCCUCACGCCAGCCGCGGACCUCGUCUUCUUCGCUGCUGCCAUAGGUGUCUUCCGCCGCCAAGUUAGGGCGCGGGAGAUUGGACUGCUCGGCCUCCCAUCUACCUCGUCUAGCAGUUCGUCUAUGGUAAAUAAAUCUCAGUUCUUACAGUCUUUUUGAUCUAUCAAAUCCAUCCACUUCAACCAAAAGUGGUUUCUGCACUUCCAAAUCUAGAUCUGUCUCUUUCUACAUAUCAUGUAUUGCAAAGUAUGUUCACUUAUGCUUCAUAACUAGUUAGAUUCCUCACUUGUACCUAUUCUUGGAUUCAUACAAAUCUGAAACCAACUUCCUUCAAUAAGUGAAUGUCUUCGCACUGUGAGGUCAAUGUCUUCUAACUGAUUUAUCUUCAAAAUCUUCUGAGAAUGCAUAUGACCUCUUCCCCUUCCCUCGCAUCUCUAAUGCUGUCACAGGUCCAUGUUCGUGGGAGAAUCCUUUAGUUAUCAUAGUCUGCAUUCAUUUGCAGAAUUCUUACAUCGUCACAUUGAAUCUCCUGAAGCCAGCUCUUGUUUGACAAGCAGACGGAAGCCUUUCACUGUAUUGAAGCCUAUCUGUCUGAAUAUUAUGGCUUCUGAAAAAUCUGCAUGAAAAGGUGGCAGGCAACGCCGAGGCAAUACAACACUGGACCUGCCCUCAGACCUGUAUGAGCUCUACAAGUCAGGCCUUGAAGAGAGUUGUACACAGCGCAAGAAUAGGAUCCAAUGGAUCCGAAGAUAUUGGGCUGAGCAAUGGUUCAAGUACAACUUCGUGACACCUGAGUAUGCUGAGAAGAAUGCCAUCAAGCACCCAUGGGGCGAUUGUCUUUACAAAAAUUUGGUACCGAAGACAAAGGCUGAAGCUAUUGCUCAGGAGUUCUGUCCUUGCAUGGUCUGAGGAUCUCAGCCUGAGAAUGCUGACCCAUCAUCUCUUUUAUGGUAUCGUGACGACAACCUCUUCAAGCGCAACCUUCAGUUUGCAAAGGACUCAGCCGUGAAGAACAAGAAGGAAUUUGGCCUCGACUUCAACCCUGGCCCAUCUGCACCAGGUCAGAUGGAACACGUGAAGCCACCGAGAACAGAAUUGGCCCCUUCGCCAACUUCGAUGGGCAUCUGUCCCACAAUGCUGCCUAGAGGGCCGCAGUGGAGAAAUCUGCUAAAGAUGCAGACUUUGAAGAUGCUCCCUCACCACCGAAACAAAAGAAAAAGGCUAAAGCUUCAAAGCCCUCUGUUGCGGCUGCUCCAAAAGCUUAGAUGAAGAAGCCACUAAAAACUGCACCUCCUGAACCCAGUGUGCAAUCGGAAGAUUUGUCUCGUGUGUCCAAGAGGACUAAGAAGCCAAUGCCCAAGAAUGUUUCUGGGCAGACUCUCACUCUAGCUGCCAUUCUGCGAAAUGAGGAAGACACCAUUGAUCUGUCAAGUGAUGAAGAUCUUGGUGAUGAAGCUCUAGAGAUGUUGAUCAAUAGCAAGCAAUAGGAGAGAUCUUCAGUAAUCUGCCCCUCUUUGAUGUUGAUAUAUUGAACAACUUCAUCGAUGAAUAGUUUGACGACCAGAGCAUCAGUAUUGAUAGCCUACAGUUGCCCGUAGGCAUCAGCGUCACAUUUCAUGGAGCCAUUGCUAAUGAAUUGGCCUUAGCUCAGAAAAUCGUUGAGCUCAAAAAUGAGAUUGAUUAUGAGAAGGCGCAUUUCAAGAAGCAUAUGCACAAGCUCAGCGUGGAUGAUGUGCAAAUUUUCAAGAAGAUGUUGCAUGAUCUCAAGGCUGAAUUCCACAAGAAGCGUGAAGAAACCAAAGGUUCAAGAGAGCGCAUGAAGACUUAUGCACAGAAAUGUGUGCAAGCACACAAUCAAGUUGAAAAGAGGAAAGCUCUUGGGCGUCCUGGCAUCGACCCCAGAAUGGCUGCCAAGAAAAGUAAGAAGCAUGCCGAAGCAAAUCCUGAUGCUCCAAGGCAGGGACAACCAAGCAUUGUCUUCCCUGCCAGCAUGACUGGCUCGAAGCCAAAGGUCCCCUCUGCUACUUCAGAACUCAAGAAGACAAGCAAGCUGAAGCCGAAGCUAGGAAGGGGAAGCUCAAGGAUACAUCUGAUGAUGCUCCCUCCAAGAAAAAGUUGAAGACAAAGGGCUCUAUGUCUUCAAGAAAAGAGCAUGCAGCUUCCCCAGAGCCCCUCAUUGUCGAACCCAUUUCUGUUGCGUUACCUGCCUCUGCAAAUCGCGAGCUUCGUCUCGUCAUCCAUGAACCUGCUCCUACAGAGGCUCCUGAAAAUGAAGAAGUUCCAGCUGUUGACCCCAACGCAGCUGAAGACAUUGGUCAUGAAGACAAUGUGCAUGAUGAUGAAGUCCUUCCUCAGCUCGAGCCCCAGUUGGUAUCAUUGCCUGCUCCAACAAGCAGUGAACUCAUUAGCAUCGGUCGUCCAUUGACACCAAUUGCUCAAGAUGACUCAUGGGCUGAGCGCCAACAAGAAGACACCCCUGUACAAGAUGAAACACCCCGUACUCCACCUGCUCAAGUCACCUCUUCGAUGCUUGAUGAUGACAACUACAUGGAGGCCACUCCAUCUCCAAAGGCGUCGCCAAUGUUUUGCAGGCUUUGCAAAGGCCUCAGGCCACAGGUCUCCAUUUCGAGCAUUCCAGAAGAAGAAGUGCAAAAAAGUGGCUCAGUGGCACAUCAAGUGUUCCCUGACGCCAAUCCCUCUGCGACUGCUCAAGAUUCUGAAGCUAAAGUUGUUGAAGACAUUCCGGUUGCAUCAGCCGAUGAAGAAAAAGAAGAAGAAAGAGAAGCCCCACCCCCUGCUAAUGAUCAAGUCAUUCUUGAAGAGAAUGUGAUCAUGCUCGAUUCUCCAGUUGUUGAAUAGAUAGAGGUUGAAAACACUAAGGCUGCCACCAACAACGCUACUGAAGCCAAUGACCUGGUCAUAGCUGAAGACACUGUGGGGCCUGAAGCAAAUGUGAAUGUUGAAGCCACUAUGACACCAAUCACCUCAGAUGGCGCUGUUCCUCCACCAUGGCCCCAUACCAUGGAAAGAUCAUUCAAUCAUGAAGGUCAGCUUGUCACAGUCAGAUGGGCAAUUAUGGUUCCACCUACUGCUCCCGGGCCACAGUAUGACUAACAUUUAGAGCAGAGGCCUCAAGUUCAGAAGCCAAAGCCACGUCUGCCAAGGCUUCCAAGUGCUAACACCACACAGGGCUCAUUCAGCGUGCUCAGCUCCAAAGAGCACAAUACUUUCUUUGACAGCACUAAGAACCCAUACACGAAACCCAAGAUCUCCUCUGACAGAUUUUGGAGCCAUCAACAGCGAAGCUAUUACUCUUGCAUCCUGUACAACCAAGACCGGAUUUUUCUGCACAAACUUCUGGAUUGUGAUGCUAUGGCUGGCUUGCCAUGUCUUGAAGAGGCCCUUGACUACUUUCGGGAUGUUGGUCUUCUGGCUUUUGUGACUAAGAAGGAACACUGGAAUGAAGAGCUUCUGCCGCAGUUUUAUGCCACUCUACAUAUUCGAGGCUACAAUAGGGAUCCAAAGACUUGGAUCCUUGAGUGGAUGACAGGUGAUGUACAUCACGAAGCCAAAGCUCAGGAUAUCAUCGAUCUUACUUCCCUGCCCACUCUAGGUGAGUUAUACGAACCUAGUUGUUUGCUUUAUCGGAAUGAGCCGCAGAGCAUCUUUCAAAAGCUAGAGCCAAAUAUGAGCCAAAUGCUUAGUAUGAUGAAGCCAUUGCCGCACGAUGCUGAAUUCCCAAAGGAGUUCUUUGUAAAGGACCUUGAGUAUUCGCCAUGCAUAGUGUACCAUAUUCUAAGGCGUACUCUCUGGCCUAUCAAAGGAAAUUCUUCUGAAGCCAAACUUGAUGGCGCCAUGAAGACUUUGGCAUUCUAUGUCGUCAAUGGCAUCAGAUUCAACACUCAAGAUUUCUUUAUCAGACAACUUGCUGCUUUUGGGAUUGAUCUGUUUGGUCUGAAACUCUAUGCUCCAUGGGUGAUGCUCUUGAUUAAGCUUCGUUCAACCAUUGACUAUCAGCCUUCAGCGCGCAACCAUAUUGUCUUUCUGCCUGAAGUUGAUAUGUCUAUUGAAGCCAUCUACCCCGAGCCUGCCAAGAAGCCCCUCCACCUUCAGAAUGCUGAAUUCUAGAGCUUCACAUAGCCCAUUGAAGGUAUUCAUGUGCCCAAUGCUGCAAUUCCUUCUUAUCCUCUGGCUGGUAACCUACGCAUACCGCACUGUGCCAAUACUGAAGCCACUGCAAGCACCAUACCUCAAAGGCCUUAGAAGCGUCCUCGUGUUCUCAAUGACCAUGAGCUUCUGGUGGCUUUACAUCAAAAGCAGGACAGGCAUCAUGACUGGAUGAAGCAUCAGAUGCAAAUAUCUUUGUGGAUGUCAAUUGAAUUCGCAACUUGACCACCAAGAAAUCAUUUGUUGCGCAUGAAGCCUGUCGGCAGUCCUGGAAGAGUCUCACCUUGCUCCGCGCUGAAGAUGAUCUUUGCAAGGAUGGAUUCACUGAGAACUUCAAGUUUGACUCUAGGCCUCCUUAGAAUGCAAGUUGGCGUCGCACACCUUCCAUUGAAGAUUCUGGGUGCUCAUCUUCGGCUGCAACUAUUGUUGCGAGAGUCGUCGAUGAAGAAGAUGAUGCCACUUCUCUAGCAUUAACUUCACUGCAUCACGAUGCUGCGCCAGGCCCGUAUGCACCUCCAAACUCCAAUGUCGACCCUGCUCCAUCCUCUACUCUAGCUGGGAACGAGUAGAUACUCUAUGUCUUCAAACCUUUUUGGUCAUUACUGACAAAAGGGGGAGAGGCAUAUGAGUUGAGAGUCUUCAAGCGGGUCCAUAUGGGUUGUUGCUUUAUUUUUGCUAAGGUCUUACAACUCCCGUUUUGAAACUAUUUGGCUUUUGAGUUGUAACACUUAAACUUGAUGGUCGUCUGCUACUCUUGCUGCCACUUUGUGAUGCGAUGAUAAAUUCUGCAUGAAGUCAUUCUGCAGACGUCCAUUUUUCAUUAUGCAUAUCGUAAUCUUCAUUACUUUCAUAUAUGCAUGAUGAAUUGUCUUCACACUUUGAAGAUGGCCUCCACAAAGCAAAACCUGCCAUGUGCAUUUGCAUUCAAAAGCAAACUACUUAUAUGCACAUCUUCAGGGGGAGCCUCUUUUAAUGUAUGAAGACAAUACUCACAAAACUAAACUUCCACAUAUUUUUAUCCCCGUUGAAAACUUCAACCGGUUUGUCAUCAAUCACCAAAAAGGGGGAGAUUGUAAGUGCACCUAGUGCCACCCCUAGUUGGUUUUGGAGUAUUGACGACAAACGUGGUUGAGGGACUAAUGUGUUUGUGAGAAUUGCAGGAUAACACAGGUAGUAGUCCCUCAUUGAUUCGGUUUACCUACCAGAGAUGAACCCUAAAAAUGUGUGAAGACAUUGAAGACAAUGGUGGUUCGUGAAGACAUUCACGACAAAGAUUAUGACUUGUGAAGAUAUACACUUGAAGACUAUGGAGUGCGAAGACAUAGCUGUUUCGUAGUUUCCUUUCUUCUUUAUUGAGUCAUAGGAACCACCGUACUGUUAAAUGGGGUCCAAGUGAACAAAGUCAGAGUGACUGAAGUGAUGCUCAACCAAAUCAUAUGUCUUCGAGCGAAGACAAUGAGAGCAAACCUUAUCCAGAGCUGGAUGAGUCAUCUUUGCUUGUAGCCCAAGCCAAGCUAUCGCAUGUGUUUGAAAUCUGACCGUUGGACACGUGUCAGUUCCUUAGUGACCCAAGGUCAUUUCAGACAUACUAGGUCAGGUUGCCUCCUGGCUAUAAAUAGCCCACCCCCUACACCAUAAAUUGGUGGCUGCUCAGAGUUAGUGCACGGCUUUAGUCGUUUGAGAGCAACCCACCUCCGAAGCAUUUGAGAGAGAGAUCCUUGCGAGGAAAAAUCCCAAAACACUUAGAGCCAAAGAGUGUUAGGCAUCACUGAAGUCUUUCUGUCCGCGUGAUCCGAAGACUUGUUACACUUGAGGACUGUGAAUCCUCUAGCCGGUUAGGCUCAUGUUCUGAGCAUCCAAGAGUCAUUGUGGAUUGCCGGUGAACGAAGUCAAUGAAGGUUUGGAAGUCUACCUCGAAGACUUACCAGAGUGAUUGGGCGAGGACUGGGUGUCCUUAGCUUAAGGGGAAUAAGGUGAAGAUACGGUCUUCGGAGUUCAAUCUCAGCCUCCCUAACCAUACGUACAGUUGUCAUAGCAACUAGAACUGGUCUACCAGAUCCUUGUCUUCACCAAGCAACUGGUUCUAUCCCCUAUUCUCCUUACUAUACAGUUUGUCUUCGUGAAGUCAUUGCUUGCAUGCCUGAUUCAUUUGACUUCAUUGUGUGAAGACUUAUAUUUGUUUAGCUUCGUACUAUCUUCCAUACUGAUCAUGUCUACCUAGUUGCAGUUAGUCUUCGUGCUUUCACUAUAUUGUAUGCUUUACUAAUGCUUGCCUAGUGUAGUCUUCAUUCCGCUGCUUACUAUAUAGGCUUAGCUUACUUGUUUGUCUUCAAAGCCACCAUGUUUUGAAUACUUUCAUAAAAAUCACCUAUUCACCCCCCUCUAGUCGAUAACUAGCACUUUCAGUUUCGCUCGAUUAGUCUUUUUGAUGUGCCAUAUAAGAAUGCGACGAAGGUGGCAAACAGGUUGAAAGCGGUGUUGCCUAUUAUGAUCUCAGAAGAACAGAGUGUGUUUGUUCUAGGUAGGCUCAUAAAAAGACACUAUUCUUUUUUCUUACGAGUGUGUGCAUGCAACCAGGAUGAGAAAACGUAUAAAACCUCUUCAUGUGGUCAAGUUGGAUAUGAUGAAAGCCUAUGAUAGAAUAGAAUGAUUUUUUAACAGUCUUUGUUGAUAGUCGGAUUACGAUGGUUAUGAGAUGAGUUACUUCUGCACAAAUUUUUGUUAAUAUGAAUUAAGAUUUAUCACACAAUUUCCUACCCUCAAGAGGCCUCCCGCAAAGAGACCUUCUCCCCCCUAUUUAUUUCUUUUUUUUUGGAAGGUUUUUCUGCUUUGUUGAGUCAUGCUCAAAGGGAAAAUGAAAUUAUUGGGGUUUGUUUGAUGCACUGGCCCUUGUAAGUGCAUCUAGUUCCACCCCUUUGUUUGUGUUGGAGUAUAUAGACAACAAACCUGGUUGAGGGACCCAUGUGUUUGUGAGAUUCAUAGCAUAGCACAGGUACAAGUCCCUGGAGAUUCGAUUUAACUGUCGAAGACGACCCCUAAAAAUGUUUGAAGACAUCGAAGCCAAUGGUUUCCUUUGAAGAUAAUGAGUGAAGACAAUGAAACACGAAGGCUUAGCUUCUUUGUAGGUUUCAUUUUCUCUUUAUUGAGUCAUAGGAACCACCGCACUGUUAAGUGGGGUUGAGGUGAAAUGAAGACAGUUGUUGAAGUGAUUGCUCAACCAAAAGCCUAUAUCUUCCUUGUAAAGACAAUGAGAGAAAAUCCCGUCCAGAGUUGGAUGAGUCAGCUUUGCUUGGAGCCCAAGUAAAGUUGUCACGUGUGUUUGAAAUCAGACUAUUGGGACACGUAUCGGUUGGCCACUGACCUAGGGUUAGAUCGGUCAUAUCAUGUCAGGUUGCCUCCUCGUAAUAAAUUGAUAGCCCCCUCCACCACGAGUUGUUGGCUACUUCGAGUUUUGCAUGAAUUUUGUCGUUUGAGAGCAACCCACCUCUGAAGCCUUUGAGAGAAAUUUCCUGUGAGGAAACCAAAACACCCAUAGCCCCAAGUGAUUGAGCAUCACCGAAGACAUUCUGUUCUGAGUGAACCGAAGACUUGUUACACUUGAAGAUUGUGAUCUUCCAGUCGGUUAGGCAUCGCGUUCUAAGCAUCCCAGAGUCAUUGUGGAUUGCCGAUGAAUGAAGUAUGUGAAGGUUUGGAAGUCUCCCUUGAAGACUUACCUGAGUGAUUGGGUGAGGUCUUCUGUGACCUUAGCUCAAGGGGAAUAAGGUGAAGACAAGGUCUUCUGAGUUCAAUCUCAACCUCACUAACCAGACGUACAUCUAUCACAGCAGCUGGAACUAGUCAAACAAAUCACGUGUCUUCUCCAAGCAACUAGUUCUAUCACUUCACUCCUUACUUACUUUUUUUUGCAUUGUGAAGUCAUUGCUUGAUCCCGUUUUGUUUGAAGACAUUGCAUGAAGACAAUCCCCUUGAUCACUUCAGUGUCUUCUCAUCAUUGUCGCUAUUGUUCUUUGCUACCUAAUUUGCUCCUAGACUUCACUUCUCACUACUUUGUGUUGUUAUGUCAGCAUGUCUAGUGUAGUUUAUCUUCCAUUGUAUCAUGUUUAGCUAUUGUUUAUCAUCUAAGUCUUCGAAGACACUUCCCAUUUCGAAGACUUUCAUAAAAUUGCCUAUCCACACCCCCUCUAGUCAAUAACUGAUGUCUACUACGCUACCUUCUUCUUGUAGACGUUGUUGGGCCUCCAAGUGCAGAGGUUUGUAAGACAGUAGCAAAUUUCCCUCAAGUGGAUGACCUAAGGUUUAUCAAUCCAUGGGAGGCGUAGGAUGAAGAUGGUCUCUCUCAAACAACCCUGCAACCAAAUGCUACCUCUUGAGCACUGCGUUGGAUUUCCCCGAAGAGGAGAGGAUGAUGCAGCAAAUUAGCGUAAGUAUUUCCCUCAGUUUUUGAGAACCAAGGUAUCAAUCCAGUAGGAGACCACACACAAGUCCCUCGUACCUACACAAAACGAUAGCUCCUCGCAACCAACGCGAUUAGGGGUUGUCAAUCCCUUCACAGUCACUUACGAGAGUGAGAUCUGAUAGAGAUGAUAAAUAAUAUUUUUGGUAUUUUUGGUAUAUAGAUGCAAAGUGAAAAGUAAAAGGCAAAGUAAAAACAAAGCAAGUAAUAAAGUAAUGGAGAUUGAUAUGAGGAGAAUAGACCCGGGGCCAUAGGUUUCACUAGUGGCUUCUCUCAAGAGCAUAGAUAUUCUACGGUGGGUGAACAAAUUACUGUUGAGCAAUUGACAGAAUUCAGCAUAGUUAUGAGUAUAUCUAGGUAUGAUCAUGUAUAUAGGCAUCACGUCCGAGACAAGUAGAUCGAAAUGAUUCUGCAUCUACUACUAUUACUCCACUCAUCGACCGCUAUCCAGCAUGCAUCUAGAGUAUUAAGUUAAAAACAGAGUAACGCCUUAAGCAAGAUGACAUGAUGUAGAGGGAUAAUUUCAUGCAAUAUGAUAAAAACCCCAUCUUGUUAUCCUCGACGGCAAUAAUACAAUACGUGCCUUGCUGCCCCUUCUGUCACUAGGAAAGGACACCACAAGAUUGAACCCAAAGCUAAGCACUUCUCCCAUUGCAAGAACUACCAAUCUAGUUGGCCAAACCAAAAGGAUAAUUCGAAGAGACUUGCAAAGAUACCUCAAUCAUACAUAAAAGGAUUCAGAGAAGAUUCAAAUAUCAUUCAUAGAUAAGCUGGAUCAUAAACCCACAAUUCAUCGGUCUCAACAAACUCAUCGCAAAAAGAAGAUUACAUCGAAUAGAUCUGCACGAGAGAGGGGAAGAACAUUGUAUUGAGAUCCAAAAAGAGAGAAUAAGCCAUCUAGCUACUAGCUAUGGACCCGAAGGUCUGAAGUAAACUACUCACACUUCAUCGGAGGGGCUAUGGUGUUGAUGUAGAAGCCGUCUGUGGUGGAUGCCCCCUUCGGCGGAGCUCCGGAACAGGCCCCAAGAUGGGAUCUCGUGGAUAUAGAAGGUUGCGGCGGUGGAAUUAGGUUUUUGGCUCCUGUUCUGAUCGUUUGGGGAUACAUAGGUAUAUAUAGGAGGAAGGAGUACGUCGGUGGAGCGACAGAGGGGCCACAAGGCAGGGGGGCGCCCUGGGGGGGCACACCCCCCACCCUCGUGACUGACUCUUCUGCUUCUUGGAGUAGGGUCCAAGUCUCCUGGAUCAGUUCGGUGAGAAAAUCACGUUCCCGAAGGUUUUAUUCCGUUUGGACUCUGUUUGAUAUUCCGUUUCUUCGAAACACUAAAAUAGGCAAAAAAAACAGCAAUUCUGGGCUGGGCCUCCGGUUAAUAGGUUAGUCCCAAAAAUAAUAUAAAAUGGAAAAUAAAGCCCAAUAUAGUCCAAAAUAGUAGAUAAAGUAGCAUGGAGCAAUCAAAAAUUAUAGAUACGUUGGAGACGUAUCAGGCAUCCCCAAGCUUAAUUCCUGCUCGUCCUUGAGUAGGUAAAUGAUAAAAAGAGAAUUUUUGAUGCGGAGUGAUACUUUGGCAUAAUUUCAAUGUAAAUCUUCUUAAUUGUGGUAUGAAUAUUCAGAUCCGAAAGAUUCAAGACAAAAGUUCAUAUUGACAUAAAAAAUAAUAAUACUUCAAGCAUACUAAUCAAAGCAAUUAUGUCUUCUCAAAAUAACAUGGCCAAAGAAAGUUAUCCCUACAAAAUCAUAUAGUCUGGCUAUGCUCCAUCUUCCCCACACAAAAUAUUUAAAUCAUGCACAACCCCGAUGACAAGCCAAGCAAUUGUUUCAUACUUAUGACAUUCUCAAAACUUUUUCAAUCUUCACGCAAUAUGUGGAAUAGAAUGGUGGUUGUGGAGAAGACAAAAAGAGGGAAGAUAGUCUCACAUCAACUAGGCAUAUCAACGGGCUAUGGAGAUGCCCAUCAAUAGAUAUCAAUGUGAGUGAGUAGGGAUUGCCAUGCAAUGGAUGCACUAGAGCUAUAAGUAUAUGAAAGCUCAACAAAAGAAACUAAGUGGGUGUGCAUCCAACUCGCUUGCUCACGAAGACCUAGGGCAUUUUGAGGAAGCCCAUCAUUGGAAUAUACAAGCCAAGUUCUAUAAUGAAAAAUUCCCACUAGUAUAUGAAAGUGACAAAAUGAGAGACUCUCUAUCAUGAAGAUCUUGGUGCUACUUUGAAGCACAAGUGUGGUAAAAGGAUAGUAGCAUUGUCCCUUCUCUCUUUUUCUCUCAUUUUUUAUUUGGGCCUUUCUCUUUUUUUUGGCCUCUUUUUUUUAUUUUAAGUCCGGAGUCUCAUCCCGACUUGUGGGGGAAUCAUAGUCUCCAUCAUCCUUUCCUCACUUGGGACAAUGCUCCAAUAAUUAUGAUCAUCACACUUCUAUUUUUCUUACAACUCAACAAUUACAACUCGAUACUUAGAACAAAGUAUGACUCUAUAUGAAUGCCUCCGGCGGUGUACCGGGAUAUGCAAUGAAUCAACAGUGACAUGUAUGAAAGAAUUAUAAACGGUGGCUUUGCCACAAAUACGAUGUCAACUACAUGAUCAUGCUAGCAAUAUGACAAUGAUGGAGCGUGUCAUAAUAAACUGGACGGUGGACAGUUGCAUGGCAAUAUAUCUCAGAAUGGCUAUGGAAAUGCCAUGAUAGGUAGGUAUGGUGGCUGUUUUGAGGAAGAUAUAUGGUGGGUGUAUGAUACCGGCGAAAAGUGUGCGGUAUUAGAGAGGCUAGCAAUGGUGGAAGGAUGGGAAAAAGUGCGUAUAAUCCAUGGACUCAACAUUAGUCAUAAAGAACUCAUAUACUUAUUGCAAAAAUCUAGAAGUUAUCAAAGCAAAGUAUUACGCGCAUGCAUCUAGGGGGAUAGAUUGGUAGGAAAAGACCAUCGCUCGUCCCCGACCGCCACUCAUAAGGAAGACAAUCAAUAAAUAAAUCAUGCUCCGAGUUCAUCACAUAACGGUUCACCAUACGUGCAUGCUACGGGAAUCACAAACUUCAACACAAAUAUUCUUUAAAUUCACAACUACUCGACUAGCAUGACUCUAAUAUCACCAUCUUCAUAUCUCAAAACAAUUAUCAAGCAUCAAACAUAUCUUAGUAUUCAACGCACUAAAAAGAAAGUUUCACAUAUCUUGAAUACCAAGUAUAUUAACAUUAAGCAAAUUACCAUGCUAUUAACUACUCUUAGAAUAAUCUAAGUGAAGCAUGAGAGAUCAAUAGUUUCUUCAAAACAAAUCCACCACUGUGCUCUAAAAGAUCUAAGUGAAGCACUAGAGCAAAAAUUACCAUGCUCAAAAGAUAUAAGUGAAGCACUAUGAGCAAAACUAUCAAGCUCAAAAGAUAUAAGUGAAGUACAUAGAGUAUUCUAGCAAACUCCAAUUCAUGUAUGGCUCUCUCAAAAGGUGUGUACAGCAAGGAUGAUUGUGGUAAACUAACAAGCAAAGACGCAAAUAAUACAAGACGCUCCAAGCAAAACACAUAUCAUGUAGUGAAUAAAAAUAUAGCUCCAAGUAAAUUGCCAAUGGAAGUGGACGAAAGAGGGGAUGCCUUCCGGGGCAUCCCCAAGCUUUGAAUUUUUGGUGUCCUUGGAUUAUCUUGGGGGUGCCAUGGGCAUCCCCAAGCUUAGGCUCUUGCCACUCCUUGUUCCAUAAUCCAUCAAAAGAAUUCACCCAAAACUUGAAAACUUCACAACACAAAACUCAAUAGAAAUCUCGUGAGCUCCAUUAGAGAAAGAAAACAAAAGACUACUCAAGGUACUGUAAUGAACUCAUUCUUUAUUUAUAUUGGUGUUAAACCUACUGUAUUCCAACUUCUCUAUGGAUUAUAAACUAUUUUACUAGCCAUAGAUUCAUCAAAAUAAGCAAACAACACACGUAAAACAGAAUCUAUCAAAAACAGAACAGUCUGUAGCAAUCGUAACUAACGCAAACUUCUAGAACUCUAAAAAUUCUACCAAAUAGUAAGUCCUGGAAAAUUUGUUUAUUGAACAGGAGAAAAAAGAAUCAACGCAAAAGCACGUUUCUGUGAUUUAACAAAAUUAUAUUCGUGCGUGCAAAGUUUUUGUUUUUCAGCAGAAUCAAAUCAACUAUCAUCGUAGGUUAUCCUAUAGGUUCUACUUGGCACAAACACUAAUUAAAAGAUAAAACCACAUCCAAACAGAGGCUAGAUGGAUUAUUUAUUCCUAAACAGAAGCAAAAACAAAAAACAAAAAUAAAAUUGGGUUGCCUCCCAACAAGCGCUAUCGUUUAACGCCCCUAGCUAGGCAUAAAAGCAAGGAUAGAUCUAGGUAUUUCCAUCUUUGGUAGGCAAUCCAUAAGUGGCUCUCAUGAUAGAUUCAUAUGGUAAUUUUGUUUUAUUUCUAGGGAAGUGUUCCAUGCCCUUCUUUAAGGGAAAUUGGAAUCUAAUAUUCCCUUCCUUCAUAUCAAUAAUUGCACCAAUCGUUCUAAGAAAAGGUCUACCAAGAAUAAUAGGACAUGAAGGAUUGCAAUCUAUAUCAAGAACGAUAAAAUCUACGGGUACACAAUUCCUAUUUGCAACAAUAAGAACACCAUUAAUUCUUCCCGUAGGCUUUUUAAUAGUGGAAUCCGCAAGAUGCAAGUUUAGAGAGCAAUCAUCAAAGUCACGGAAAUCUAGCAAAUCACACAAAGUUUUGGGAAUAGUAGAGACACUAGCACCCAAAUCACAUAGAGCAUGAAACUCAUAAUCUUUAAUUUUAAUUUUAAUAGUAGGUUCCCACUCAUCAUAGAGUUUUCUAGGGACAGAAACUUUAAACUCAAGUUUUUCUUCAUAAAUUGCAUCAAGGCAUCAACAAUGUGUUCGGUAAAGGCCUUAUUUUGACUAUAAGCAUGAGGAGAAUCUAACACGGAUUGCAACAAGGAAAUACAACCAAUUAAAGAGCAAUUUUCAUAAUUAAAUUCCUUGAGAACCAAAAUAGUGGGUUUAGCAACAUCUAGGUUUUUAUUUCUUUCAAUCCCACUUUCAUCAAUUUCAUCAUCAAGAUCUAGAAACUCCGAAUUCUUAGAACGCCUUCUAGGUAAAGGAAGAUUAUAUUCACUUUCAUCAAGAUUCAUAUUGCAAAACAAAGAUUUAAUGGGGGACACAUCAAUAACUUUUAGAUCUUCAUCUUGAUUUUCAUAGGGAUUCGGUUUAGCGGCAUUCUUAUUGACUAAGGUAGCUUGCAUAUCCGAAAUUUCAGCGGUCAUCUUUUCAAGACGAGCAAUUUGGGCUCUUAUACCAUCAAAUUCUUUAGACAUAUCAUCGAGUUCUUUAUUCAUAUAACUCAUAAAACUUUUUUGUUCCUUAAGCUCGUUUCUAAAGAAAUUAUUAUGCUCAAAUUGCAAAACCAUAAACUUUCUGACAUUGCUUUUGAUCUCCUCUAGCCUUUUAAGGUGAAGAUCACCAAAUCUAGGUAGAGCCAUCGUGACAAGCAAGCAAACUAACACACAAGCAAACAAACGGACUAGAAAAAGGUAACGGGAAAAAGAGGAGGAGAUUGGGAAAGAGAGGGCGAAUAAAACGGCAAGGGUGCAGUGGGGGAGAGGCAAACGAGAGGCAAAUGGCAAAUAAUGUAAUGCGAGAGAUAGGGAUUAUGAUGGGUACUUGGUAUGGUUUGACUUGAGCGAAGACCUCCCCAGCAACGGCGCCAGAAAUUCUUCUUGCUACCUCUUGAGCACUGCAUUGGAUUUCCCCGAAGAGGAGAGGAUGAUGCAGCAAAGUAGCGUAAGUAUUUCCCUAAGUUUUUGAGAACCAAGGUAUCAAUCCAGUAGGAGACCACGCACAAGUCCCUCGUACCUACACAAAACGAUAGCUCCUCGCAACCAACGCGAUUAGGGGUUGUCAAUCCCUUCACGGUCACUUACGAGAGGGAGAUCUGAUAGAGAUGAUAAAUAAUAUUUUUGGUAUAUAGAUGCAAAGUGAAAAGUACAAGGCAAAGUAAAAACAAAGCAAGUAAUAAAGUAAUGGAGAUUGAUAUGAUGAGAAUAGACCCGGGGGCCAUAGGUUUCACUAGUGGCUUCUCUCAAGAGCAUAGAUAUUCUACGGUGGGUGAACAAAUUACUAUUGAGCAAUUGACAGAAUUGAGCAUAGUUAUGAGUAUAUCUAGGUAUGAUCAUGUAUAUAGGCAUCACGUCCGAGACAAGUAGAUCGAAACGAUUCUGCAUCUACUACUAUUACUCCACUCAUCGACCGCUAUCCAGCAUGCAUCUAGAGUAUUAAGUUAAAAACAGAGUAACGCCUUAAGGAAGAUGACAUGAUGUAGAGGGAUAAUUUCAUGCAAUAUGAUAAAAACCCCAUCUUGUUAUCCUCGAUGGCAACAAUACAAUACGUGCCUUGCUGCCCCUUCUGUCACUGGGAAAGGAUACCGCAAGAUUGAACCCAAAGCUAAGCACUUCUCCCAUUGCAAGAACUACCAAUCUAGUUGGCCAAACCAAAAGGAUAAUUCGAAGAGACUUGCAAAGAUAACUCAAUCAUACAUAAAAGAAUUCAGAGAAGAUUCAAAUAUUAUUCUUAGAUAUGCUGGAUCAUGAACCCACAAUUCAUCGGUCUCAACAAACACACCGCAAAAAGAAGAUUACAUCAAAUAGAUCUGCACGAGAGAGGGGGAGAACAUUGUAUUGAGAUACAAAAAUAGAGAAGAAUCCAUCUAGCUACUAGCUAUGGACCCGAAGGUCUGAAGUAAACUACUCACACUUCAUCGGAGGGGCUAUGGUGUUGAUGUAGAAGCCCUCCAUGGUGGAUGCCCCCUCCGGCGGAGCUCCGGAACAGGCCCCAAGAUGGGAUCUCAUGGAUACAGAAGGUUGCGGCGGUGGAAUUAGGUUUUUGGCUCCUGUUCUGAUCGUUUGGGGAUACGUACGUAUAUAUAGGAGGAAGGAGUACAUCGGUGGAGCAACAAAGGGGCCACGAGGCAGGGGGCACGCCCUAGGGGGGGCGCCCCCCACCCUCGUGACCGACUCUUCUGCUUCUUGGAGUAGGGUCCAAGUCUCCUGGAUCACGUUCGGUGAGAAAAUCACGUUCCCGAAGGUUUUAUUCCGUUUGGACUCCGUUUGAUUUUCCGUUUCUUCGAAACACUGAAAUAGGCAAAAAACAGCAAUUCUGGGCUAGGCCUCCGGUUAAUAGGUUAGUCCCAAAAAUAAUAUAAAAGUGGAAAAUAAAGCCCAAUAUAGUCCAAAACAGUAGAUAAAGUAGCAUGGAGCAAUAAAAAAUUAUAGAUACGUUCGAGACGUAUCACCAAAUAACAAAGAGUCUCUUGUGGCCCCAACACACCCAAUACAAUGGUAAAUUGUAUAGGUGCAUUAUUUUAGCGAAGAGAUGGUGACACGAGUGCAAUAUGGAUGGUAGAUAUGGGUGUUUGUAAUCUGAAAUUAUAAAAACAGCAAGGUAGCAAGUGACAAAAGUGAGCAAAAACAGUAUUGCAAUGCUUUGAAACAAGGCCUAGGGUUCAUACUUUCACUAGUGCAAGUUCUCUCAACAAGGAUAACAUAAUUAGAGCAUAUAAAAAUCCCUCAACGUGCAACAAAAAGUCACUCCAAAGUCACUAAUAGCGGAGAACAAACAAAGAGAUUAUUGUAGGGUACGAAACCACCUCAAAGUUAUUCUUUCCGAUCAAUCCAUUGGGCUAUUCAAAUAAGUGUCACAAACAACCCUAGAGUUCAUAGUAAAAUAACACCUUAAGACACAAAUCAACCAAAACCCUAAUGUCACCUAGAUACUCCAAUGUCACCUCAAGUAUCCGUGGGUAUGAUUAUACGAUAUGCAUCACACAAUCUCAGAUUCAUCUAUUCAAACCAACACAAAGAACUUCAUAGAGUGCCCCAAAGUUUCUACCAGAGAGUCAAGAUGAACGUGUGCCAACCCCUAUGCAUAGAUUCCCAAGGUCACGGAACCCACAAGUUGAUCACGAGGGGUUGGCGUCGGUUUCACAUCAGGGGGGCCCAUAGGGAGUCCACGAGGCAGGGGUCGCACCCUAGGGGGGGGGCCUCCACCCUCAUGGGGACCACGGAACUCCCCUCCGGUAGCUUUUCGUUCCAGUAUUUCUUAUAUUUUCCAAAAAUAUUCUCCGCAGAAUUUCAACGCAUUCCGAGAACUUUUAUUUCUACACAAAAACAACACCACGGUAGUUCUACUGAAAACAGCGUCAGUCCGGGUUAGUUCUAAUCAAAUCAUACCAAAAUCAUGUAAAAAUAUUAUAAACAUGGCAUGAAUACAUCAAAAAUUAUAGAUACGUUGGAGACGUAUCAAGCAUCCCCAAGCUUAAUUCCUGCUCGUCCUCGAGUAGGUAAAUGAUAAAAACAAAAAAAUUGAUGUGGAAUGCUACCUAAAAUAUUUAUCAAUGUAAUCUUCUCUAUUGUGGCAAGAAUAUUUAGAUCCAUAAGAUUCAAAACAAAAUUUUAAUAUUGACACAAUAAUAGUAAUACUUCAAGCAUACUAACAAAGCAAUCAUGUCUUAUCAAAAUAACAUGGCCAAAGAAAUCUAUCCCUACAAAAUCAUAUAGUCUAGCUAUGCUCUAUCUUCAUCACACAAAAUAUUUAAAUCAUGCACAACCCCGAUGACAAGCCAAGCAAUUAUUUCAUACUUUUGAUGUUCUCAAACCUUUUCAAUCUUCACCCAAUACAUGAGCGUGAGCCAUGGAUAUAGCACUAUAGGUGGAAUAGAAUGGUGGUUGUGGAGAAGACAAAAAGGGAGAAGAUAGUCUCACAUCAACUAGGCGUAUCAACGGGCUAUGGAGAUGCCCAUCAAUAGAUAUCAAUGUGAGUGAGUAGGGAUUGCCGUGCAAUGGAUGCACUAGAGCUAUAAGUGUAUGAAAGCUCAAAACGAAACUAAGUGUGUGUGUGCAUCCAACUCGCUUGCUCACAAAGACCUAGGGCAAUUUGACGAAGCCCAUCAUUGGAAUAUACAAGCCAAGUUCUAUAAUGAAAAAUUCCCACUAGUAUAUGAAAGUGACAACAUAGGAGACUCUCUAUCAUUAAGAUCAUGGUGCUACUUUGAAGCACAAGUGUGGAAAAAGGGUAGUAGCAUUGCCCCUUCUCUCUUAUUCUCUUGUUUUUUUGUUUUUUGUUUUUUUUGGGCCUUCUCUCUUUUUUUUGGCCUCUUUAUUUAUUUUAUUUAUUUUUUUCGUCCGGAGUCUCAUCCCGACUUGCGGGGGAAUCAUAGUCUCCAUCAUCCUUUCCUCACUGGGACAAUGCUCUAAUAAUGAAGAUCAUCACACUUUUAUUUACUUACAACUCAAGAAUUACAACUCGAUACUUAGAACAAAAUAUGACUCUAUAUGAAUGCCUCCGGCGGUGUACCGGGAUGUGCAAUGAAUCAAGAGUGACAAGUAUGAAAGAAUUAUGAAAGGUGGCUUUGCCACAGAUACGAUGUCAACUACAUGAUCAUGCAAAGCAAUAUGACAAUGAUGAAGUGUGUCAUAAUAAACAGAACGGUGGAAAGUUGCAUGGCAUUAUAUCUCGGAAUGGCUAUGAAAAUGCCAUAAUAGGUAGGUAUGGUGGCAGUUUUGAGGAAGGUAUAUGGUGGGUGUAUGGUACCUGUGAAAGUUGUGCGCUACUAGAGAGGCUAGCAAUGGUGGAAGGGUGAGAGUGUGUAUAAUCCAUGGACUCAACAUUAGUCAUAAAGAACUCACAUACUUAUUGCAAAAAUCUAUUAGUUAUCGAAACGAAGUACUACGCGCAUGCUCCUAGAGGGAUAGAUUGGUCGGAAAAGACCAUCGCUCGUCCCCGACCGCCACUCAUAAGGAAGACAAUCAAAAAAUAAAUCAUGCUCCAACUUCAUCACAUAACGGUUCACCAUACGUGCAUGCUACGGGAAUCACAAACUUCAACACAAGUAUUUCUACAAUCCACAAUUACUCACUAGGAUGACUCUAAUAUCAACCAUCCUCAUAUCUGAAAACAAUCAUAAAGAAUCAAAGUUCUCAUAGUAUUCAAUGCACUUCAUAUGGAAGUUUUUAUUAUAUCCCUCUUGGAUGCCUAUCAUAUUAGGACUAAAUUCAUAACCAAAGCAAAUUACCAUGCUGUUUAAGACUCUCAAAAUAAUAUAAGUAAAGCAUGAGAGUUCAUCUAUUUCUUCAAAAUAAAACCACCGCCGUGCUCUAAAAAGAUAUAAGUGAAGCACUAGAGCAAACGACAAACUACUCCAAAAGAUAUAAGUGAAGAUCAAUGAGCAGUCGAAUAAUUAUGCAACUAUGUGAAGACUCUCUAACAUUUAAUAAUUUCAGAUCUUAGCAUAUUAUUCAAACAGCAAGUAAAAUAAAAUAAAAUGACGCUUCAAGCAAAACACAUAUCAUGUGGUGAAUAAAAAUAUAGCUCCAAGUAAAGUUACCGAUAGACGAAGACGAAAGAGGGGAUGCCUUCCGGGGCAUCCCCAAGAUUAGGAUUUUGGUUGUCCUUGAGUUUUACCUUGGGGUGCAUUGGGCAUCCCCAAGAUUAGGCUCUUGCCACUCCUUAUUCCAUAAUCCAUCGAAUCUUUACCCAAAACUUGAAAACUUCACAACACAGAACUCAACAGAAAACUCGUACGCUCCGUUAGUAUAAGAAAAUAAAUCACCACUCUUGGUACUGUUAUGAACUCAUUCUAAAUUAAUAUUGUAAUAUAUAAUGUAUUCCAACUUCUCUAUGGUUCAUACCCUCCGAUACUACUCAUAGAUUCAUCAAAAUAAGCAAACAACACAAAGAAAACAGAAUCUGUCAAAAACAGAACAAUCUGUAUUAAUCUGUAACUCUCGAAUACUUAUGAAACUCCAAAAAUUCUGAAAUAAAUUGGUGGAUGUGAGAAAUUUGUCUAUUAAUCUUCUGCAAAAAAGAAUUAACUCAAAAUCACUCUUCUGUAAAAAAUGACAGCUAAUCUCGUGAGCGCAAAGUUUCUGUUUUUUUACAGCAAGAUCACAUUAACUUUCACCCAAGUCUUCCCAAAGGUUCUACUUGGCGCUUUAUUAAAACAAAAGCUAUAAAACAUGAUUACUACAGUAGCUUAAUCAUGUGAACACACAAAAACAGUAGCCAAAUCCACUUUCAUAAUUAUCACAAUAAGAUUCAACACCCUCCAAAAUAGUGGGAUCAUUACUUCCUAAAGUUGACACUCUUCCAAACCCACUUUCAUCAAUAUAAUCAUCAUAAAUAGGAAGCAUGAUAUCAUCUUAAUAAAUUUGCUCAUCAAAACUUGGGGGACUAAAAAUAUCAUAUUCAUCAAACAUAGCCUCCCAAGCUUGCGGCUGCAUAUCAUUAGCAUCAUGGAUAUUCAAGGAACUCAUACUAAUAACAGUGCAAUCAUGCUCAUCAUUCAAAGAUUCAGUGUCAAACAUUUUAAUGCAUUCUUCUUCUAACACUUUGGCACAAUUUUCCUUCCAUCAUUUUCACGAAAGAUAUUAAAAAGAUGAAGCAUAUGAGGCACCCUCAAUUCCAUUUUUUUGUAAUUUUCUUUUAUAUACUAAACUAGUGAUAAAACAAGAAAUAAAAAUAUUCGAUUGCAAGAUCUAAAGAUAUACCUUCAAGCACUAACUGAUACGUCUCCAACGUAUCUAUAAUUUUUGAUUGCUCCAUGCUACUUUAUCUACUGUUUUGGACUAUAUUGGGCUUUAUUUUCCACUUUUAUAUUAUUUUUGGGACAAACCUAUUAACCGGAGGCCCAGCCCAGAAUUGCUAUUUUUUUGCCUAUUUCAGUGUUUUGAAGAAACGGAAUAUCAAACGGAAUAACACCUUCGGGAACGUGAUUUUCUCACCGAACGUGAUCCAGGAGACUUGGACCCUACUCCAAGAAGCAAAAGAGUCGGUCACGAGGGUGGGGGCGCCCCCCCUAGGGCGCGCCCCUGCCUCGUGGCCCCCUGUUGCUCCAUCGACGUACUCCUUCCUCCUAUAUAUACCUAUGUAUCCCCAAACGAUCAGAACAGGAGCCAAAAACCUAAUACCACCACCGCAACCUUCUGUAUCCACGAGAUCCCAUCUUGGGGCCUGUUCCGGAGCUCCGCCGGAGGGGGCAUCCACCACGGAGGGCUUCUACAUCAACACCAUAGCCCCUCCGAUGAAGUGUGAGUAGUUUACUUCAGAGCUUCGGGUCCAUAGCUAGUAGCUAGAUGGCUUCUUCUCUCUUUUUUGAUCUCAAUACAAUGUUCUCCCCCUCUCUCGUGGAGAUCUAUUCAAAGUAAUCUUCUUUUUGCGGUGUGUUUGUUGAGAUCAAUGAAUUGUGGGUUUAUGAUCAAGCUUAUCUAUGAAUAACAUUUGAAUCUUCUCUGAAUUCUUUUAUGUAUGAUUGAGUUAUCUUUGCAAGUCUCUUCGAAUUAUCCUUUUGGUUUGGCCAACUAGAUUGGUAGUUCUUGUAAUGGGAGAAGUGCUUAGCUUUGGGUUCAAUCUUGCGGUGUCCUUUCCCAGUGACAGAAGGGGAAGCAAGGCACGUAUUGUAUUGUUGCCAUCGAGGAUAACAAGAUGUUUUUUUAUCAUAUUGCAUGAAUUUAUCCCUCUACAUCAAGUCAUCUUGCUUAAGGCGUUACUUUGUUUUUAACUUAAUACUCUAGAUGCAUGCUGGAUAGCGAUCGAUGAGUAGAGUAAUAGUAGUAGAUGCAGAAUCGUUUCGAUCUACUUGUCUCGGACGUGGUGCCUAUAUACAUGAUCGUACCUAGAUAUACUCAUAACUAUGCUCAAUUCUGUCAAUUGCUCAACAGUAAUUUGUUCACCCAUCGUAGAAUAUCUAUGCUCUUGAGAGAAGCCACUAGUGAAACCUAUGGCCCCCGGGUCUAUUCUCAUCAUAUCAAUCUUCAUUACUUUAUUGCUUGCUUUGUUUUUACUUUGCCUUUUACUUUUCACUUUGCAUCUAUAUACCAAAAAUACCAAAAAUAUUAUUUAUCAUCUCUAUCAGAUCUCACUCUCGUAAGUGACCGUGAAGGGAUUGACAACCCCUAAUCGCGUUGGUUGCGAGGAGCUAUCGUUUUGUGUAGGUACGAGGGACUUGUGCGUGGUCUCCUACUGGAUUGAUACCUUGGUUCUCAAAAACUGAGGGAAAUACUUACGCUACUUUGCUGCAUCAUCCUCUCCUCUUCGGGGAAAUCCAACCCAGUGCUCAAGAGGUAGCAAGAAGAAUUUCUGGCGCCGUUGCCGGGGAGGCUCAUGCAAGCAUGUCAACCAUACCAAGUACCCAUCACAAUCCCUAUCUCUCGCAUUACAUUAUUUGCCAUUUGCCUCUCGUUUUCCUCUCCCCUACUUCACCCUUGCCGUUUUAUUCGCCCUCUCUUUCCCGUUUGCCUUUUUCCGUUGCCUCUCUGUUUGCUUGUGUGUUGGAUUACUUGUUUCCAUGGCGCAAGAUAAUACCAAAUUGUGUGAUUUCUUGAAUACCAAUAAUAAUGAUUUCCUUAGUAGUCCGAUUGCUCCUCUUAAUAAUGAUGAGUCUUGUGAAAUCAAUACCGCUUUGCUGUAUCUUAUUAUGAAAGAUCAAUUCGCCGGCCUUCCUAGUGAAGAUGCCGCUACUCAUCUAAACAAUUUUGUUGACUUGUGUGAUAUGCAAAAGAAGAAAGAUACGGAUAACAAUAUUGUCAAAUUGAAGUUAUUUCCGUUUUCACUUAGAGAUCGUGCUAAAGUUUGGUUUUCGUCUUUGCCUAAAAAUAGUAUUGAUUCUUUGAACAAGUGCAAAGAUGCUUUUAUCUCUAAGUAUUUUCCUCCCUCUAAGAUCAUCACUCUUAGGAACGAUAUUAUGAAUUUUAAACAACUUGAUCAUGAGCAUGCUGUCCAAUCUUGGGAAAGAAUGAAAUUGAUGCUUCGCAAUUGCCCUACUCAUGGUUUGAAUUUAUGGAUGAUCAUACAAAAUUUUAUGCCGGAUUGAAUUUUGCUUCUAGAAAUCUUUUAGAUUCGGCCGCGGGAGGCAUGUUUAUGGAAAUUACGUUAGGAGAUGCUACAAAAUUGCUUGAUAAUAUUAUGGCUAAUUAUUCUCAAUGGCACACCGAAAGAUCUUCUAGUAAAAAAGUGCAUGCUAUAGAAGAAAUCAAUGUUUUGAGUGAAAAGAUGGAUGAACUUAUGAAGAUGUUUGCUACUAAAAAUACUUCUCUUGAUCCCAAUGAUAUUCCUUUGUCUACUUUGAUUGAGAACAAUAAUGAAUCUAUGGAUGUGAAUUUUGUUGGUAGGAAUAGUUUUGGAAAUAACGCGUAUAUAGGGAAUUUUAAUCCUAGGCCUUAUCCUAGUAAUCCUUCUAAUAAUUAUGGAAAUUCCUACAACAACUCUUAUGGAAAUUUUAAUAAGAUGCCCUCUGAAUUUGAGAGUAGUGUUAAAGAGUUUAUGAAUUCACAAAAGAAUUUUAAUGCUUUGCUUGAAGAGAAAUUGCUUAAAGUUGAUGAUUUGGCUAGGAACGUUGAUAGAAUUUCUCUUGAAAUUGAUUCUUUAAAGCUUAGAUCUAUUCCUCCUAAGCAUGAUAUCAAUGAGUCUCUCAAAGCCAUCAGAAUUUCCAUUGAUGAGUGCAAAGAAAGAACCGCUAGGAUGAGUGCUUCCAAAGAUACCUUUAUUAAAGCGUGUUCUUCCAAUUCCUAUGAAAAUUAAGAUGAAGAUCUAAAAGUUAUUGAUGUGUCCCCCAUUAAAUCUUUGUUUUGAAAUAUGAAUCUUGAUGAAACUGAAUAUGAUCUUCCUUUACCUAGAAGGGGUUCUAAGAAUUCAGAGUUUCUAGAUCUUGAUGAUGAAAUCGAUGAAAGUGGGAUUGAAAGAUAUAAAAACCUAGAUGUUGCUAAACCCACUAUUUUAGAUCUCAAGGAAUUUAAUUAUGAAAAUUGCUCUUUAAUUGGUUGUAUUUCCUUGUUGCAACCCGUGCUAGAUUCUCCUCAUGCUUAUAGUCAAAAUAAGGCCUUUACCGAACACAUUGUUGAUGCCUUGCUGCAAUCUUAUGAAGAAAAACUUGAGUUGAAAGUUUCUAUCCCUAGAAAACUCUAUGAUGAGUGGGAACCUACUAUUAAAAUUAAAAUUAAAGAUUAUGAGUUUCAUGCUUUGUGUGAUUUGGGUGCUAGUGUCUCUACUAUUCCCAAAACUUUGUGUGAUUUGCUAGAUUUCCGUGACUUUGAUGGUUGCUCUCUAAACUUGCAUCUUGCGGAUUCCACUAUUAAAAAGCCUAUGGGAAGAAUUAAUGAUGUUCUUAUUGUUGCAAAUAGGAAUUAUGUACCCGUAGGUUUUAUCGUUCUUGAUAUAGAUUGCAAUCCUUCAUGUCCUGUUAUUCUUGGUAGACCUUUCCUAAGAACGAUUGGUGCAAUUAUUGAUAUGAAGGAAGGGAACAUUACAUACCGAUUUCCCUUAAAUAAGGGCAUGGAACACUUCCCUAGAAAGAAAAUAAAAUUACCAUAUGAAUCUAUCAUGAGAGUCACUUAUGGAUUGCCUACCAAAGAUGGCAAUACCUAGAUCUAUCCUUGCUUUUAUGCCUAGCUAGGGGCGUUAAACGAUAGCGCUUGUUGGGAGGCAACCCAAUUUUAUUUGUGUUUUUUGUUUUUGCUUCUGUUUAGGAAUAAAUAAUCCAUAUAGCUUCUGUUUGGAUGUGGUUUUAUGUUUUAAUUAGUGUUUGUGCGAAGUAGAACCUAUAGGAUAACCUACGAUGAUAGUUGAUUUGAUUCUGCUGAAAAACAGAAACUUUGCACACACAAAUAUAAUUUUGUUAAAUCACAGAAACGUGAUUUUGCGUUGAUUCUCUUUGAUGCUGUUCAACAAACAAAUUUUCCAGGACUUCCUAUUUUGGUAGAAUUUUUAGAGUUUCAGAAGUUUGUGGUAGUUACAUAUUGCUAUAGACUGUUCUGUUUUUGACAGAUUCUGUUUUACGUGUGUUGUUUGCUUAUUUUGAUGAAUCUAUGGCUAGUAAAAUAGUUUAUAAUCCAUAGAGAAGUUGGAAUACAGUAGGUUUAACACCAAUAUAAAUAAAGAAUGAGUUCAUUACAGUACCUUGAGUAGUCUUUUGUUUUCUUUCUCUAACGGAGCUCACGAGAUUUCUAUUGAGUUUUGUGUUGUGAAGUUUUCAAGUUUUGGGUGAAUUCUUUUGAUGGAUUAUGGAACAAGGAGUGGCAAGAGCCUAAGCUUGGGGAUGCCCAUGGCACCCCCAAGAUAAUCCAAGGACACCAAAAAGUCAAAGCUUGGGGAUGCCCCGGAAGGCAUCCCCUCUUUCGUCCACUUCCAUCGGUAAUUUAUUUGGAGCUAUAUUUUUAUUCACCACAUGAUAUGUGUUUUGCUUGGAGCGUCUUGUAUUAUUUGCGUCUUUGCUUGUUAGUUUACCACAAUCAUACUUGAUGUACACACCUUUUGAGAGAGCCAUACACGAAUUGGAAUUUGCUAGAAUACUCUACGUGCUUCACUUAUAUCUUUUGAGCUUGAUAGUUUUGCUCAUAGUGCUUCACUUAUAUCUUUUGAGCGUGAUAAUUUUUGCUCUAGUGCUUCACUUAGAUCUUUUAGAGCACGGUGGUGGAUUUGUUUUAAAGAAACUAUUGAUCUCUCAUGCUUCACUUAGAUUAUUUUGAGAGUCGUUAAUAGCAUGGUAAUUUGCUUAAUGUUAAUAUACUUGGUAUUCAAGAUAUGUGAAACUUUCUUUUUAGUGCGUUGAAUACUAAGAUAAGUUUGAUGCUUGAUAAUUGUUUUGAGAUAUGAAGAUGGUGAUAUUAGAGUCAUGCUAGUUGAGUAGUUGUGAAUUUAAAGAAUACUUGUGUUGAAGUUUGUGAUUCCCGUAGCAUGCACGUAUGGUGAACCGUUAUGUGAUGAACUCGGACCAUGAUUUAUUUAUUGAAUGUCUUCCUUAUGAGUGGUGGCCGGGGACGAGCGAUGGUCUUUUCCUACCAAUCUAUCCCCCUAGGAGCAUGCGCGUAAUACUUUGCUUUGAUAACUUCUAGAUUUUUGCAAUAAGUAUAUGAGUUCUUUAUGACUAAUGUUGAGUCCAUGGAUUAUACGCACUUUUUCCCAUCCUUCCACCAUUGCUAGCCUCUCUAAUACCGCGCACUUUUCGCCGGUAUCAUACACCCACCAUAUAUCUUCCUCAAAACAGCCACCAUACCUACCUAUCAUGGCAUUUCCAUAGCCAUUCCGAGAUAUAUUGCCAUGCAACUUUCCACCGUUCAGUUUAUUAUGACACGCUCCAUCAUUGUCAUAUUGCUAGCAUGAUCAUGUAGUUGACAUCGUAUUUGUGGCAAAGCCACCAUUUAUAAUUCUUUUAUACAUGUCACUCUUGAUUCAUUACAUAUCCCGGCACACCGCCGGAGGCAUUCAUAUAGAGUCAUACUUUGUUCUAAGUAUCGAGUUGUAAUUGUUGAGUUGUAAGAAAAAUAAAAGUGUGAUCAUCAUCAUUAUUAGAGCAUUGUCCCAAGUGAGGAAAGGAUGAUGGAGACUAUGAUUCCCCCACAAGUCGGAUGAGACUCCGGGCAAAAAAAAAGAGACCAAAAAAAAGAGAAAGGCCCAAAUAAAAAAAAUGAGAGAAAAAGAAAGAAGGGACAAUGCUACUAUCCUUUUACCACACUUGUGCUUCAAAGUAGCACCAAGAUCUUCAUGAUAGAGAGUCUCUCAUUUUGUCACUUUCAUAUACUAGUGGGAAUUUUUCAUUAUAUAACUUGGCUUGUAUAUUCCAAUGAUGGGCUUCCUCAAAGUGCCCUAGGUCUUCGUGAGCAAGUGAGUUGGAUGCACACCCACUUAGUUUCUUUUGUUGAGCUUUCAUAUACUUAUAGCUCUAGUGCAUCCGUUGCAUGGCAAUCCCUACUCACUCACAUUGAUAUCUAUUGAUGGGCAUCUCCAUAGCCCGUUGAUACGCCUAGUUGAUGUGAGACUAUCUUCCCUCUUUUUUUCUUCUCCACAACCACCAUUCUAUUCCACAUAUAGUUCUAUAACCAUGGCUCACGCUCAUGUAUUGCGUGAAGAUUGAAAAAGUUUUGAGAAUGUCAUAAGUAUGAAACAAUUGCUUGGCUUGUCAUCGGGGUUGUGCAUGAUUUAAAUAUUUUGUGUGGGGAAGAUGGAGCAUAGCCAGACUAUAUGAUUUUGUAGGGAUAACUUUCUUUGGCCAUGUUAUUUUGAGAAGACAUAAUUGCUUUGAUUAGUAUGCUUGAAGUAUUAUUAUUUUUUAUGUCAAUAUGAACUUUUGUCUUGAAUCUUUCGGAUCUAAAUAUUCGUACCACAAUUAAGAAGAUUUACAUUGAAAUUAUGCCAAAGUAUCACUCCGCAUCAAAAAUUCUCUUUUUAUCAUUUACCUACUCGAGGACGAGCAGGAAUUAAGCUUGGGGAUGCCUGAUACGUCUCCAACGUAUCUAUAAUUUUUUAUCGCUCCAUGCUACUUUAUAUACUAUUUUAGACUAUAUUGGGCUUUAUUUUCCACUUUUAUAUUAUUUUUGGGACUAACCUAUUAACCGGAGGCCCAGCCCAGAAUUGUUGUUUUUUGCCUAUUUCAGUGUUUCGAAGAAACGGAAUAUCAAACAGAGUCCAAACGGAAUAAAACCUUCGGGAACGUGAUUUUCUGACCGAACGUGAUCCAGGAGACUUGGACCCUACUCCAAGAAGCAGAAGAGUCGGUCACGAGGGUGGGGGGCGAGCCCCCCCAGGGCGCGCCCCCCUGCCUCGUGGGCCCCCUGUUGCUCCAUCGACGUAGUCCUUCCUCCUAUAUAUACCUACGUAUCCCCAAACGAUCAGAACAGGAGCCAAAAACCUAAUUCCACCGCCGCAACCUUCUGUAUCCACGAGAUCCCAUCUUGGGGCUUGUACCGGAGCUCCGCCGGAGGGGGCAUCCACCACGGAGGGCUUCUACAUCAACACCAUAGCCCCUCCGAUGAAGUGUGAGUAGUUUACUUCAGACCUUCGGGUCCAUAGCUAGUAGCUAGAUGGCUUCUUCUCUCUUUUUGGAUCUCAAUACAAUGUUCCCCCCCUCUCUCGUGGAGAUCUAUUCGAUGUAAUCUUCUUUUUGCGGUGUGUUUGUUGAGAUCGAUGAAUUGUGGGUUUAUGAUCCAGCUUAUCUACGAACAAUAUUUGAAUCUUCUCUAAAUUCUUUUAUGUAUGAUUGAGUUAUCUUUGGAAGUCUCUUCGAAUUAUCCUUUUGGUUUGGCCAACUAGAUUGGUAGUUCUUGCAAUGGGAGAAGUGCUUAGCUUUGGGUUCAAUCUUGCGGUGUCCUUGCCCAGAGAUAGAAGGGGUAGCAACACAUGUAUUGUAUUGUUGCCAUCGAGGUUAACAAGAUGGUUUUUUUUAUCAUAUUGCAUGAAUUUAUCCCUCUACAUCAUGUCAUCUUGCUUAAGGCGUUACUCUGUUUUUAACUUAAUACUCUAGAUGCAUGCUGGAUAGCGGUCGAUGAGUGGAGUAAUAGUAGUAGAUGCAGAAUCAUUUCGAUCUACUUGUCUCGGACGUGAUGCAUAUAUACAUGAUCGUACCUAGAUAUACUCAUAACUAUGCUCAAUUCUGUCAAUUGCUCAACAGUAAUUUGUUCACCCACCAUAGAAUAUCUAUGCUCUUGAGAGAAGCCACUAGUGAAACCUAUGGCCCCAGGGUCUAUUCUCAUCAUAUCAAUCUCCAUUACUUUAUUGCUUGCUUUGUUUUUACUUUGCAUUUUACUUUUCACUUUGCAUCUAUAUACCAAAAAUACCAAAAAUAUAAUUUAUCAUCUCUAUCAGAUCUCACUCUCGUAAGUGAACGUGAAGGGAUUGACAACACCUAAUCGCGUUGGUUGCGAGGAGCUAUCGUUUUGUGUAGGUACGAGGGACUUGUGCGUGGUCUCCUACUGGAUUGAUACCUUGGUUCUCAAAAACUGAGGGAAAUACUUACGCUACUUUGCUGCAUCAUCCUCUCCUCUUCGGGGAAAUCCAACGCAGUGCUCAAGAGGUAGCACUAACCUCCCUGGCAACGAUGCCAGAAAAGAGCUUGAUGUCUACUACGCAAUCUUCUUCUUGUAGACGUUGUUGGGCCUCCAAGUGCAGAGGUUUGUAGGGCAGUAGCAAAUUUCCCUCAAGUGGAUGACCUAAGGUUUAUCAAUCCGUGGGAGGCGUAGGAUGAAGAUGGUCUCUCUCAAAUAACCCUGCAUUCAAAUAACAAACAGUCUCUUGUGUCCCCAACACACCCAAUACAAUGGUAAAUUGUAUAGGUGCACUAGUUCGGUGAAGAGAUGGUGAUACAAGUGCAAUAUGGGUGGUAGAUAUGGGUUUUUGUAAUCUGAAACUAUAAAAACAGCAAGGUAGCAAGUGAUAAAAGUGAGAGAAAACAGUAUUGCAAUGCUUUGAAACAAGGCCUAGGGUUCAUACUUUUACUAGUGCAAGUUCUCUCAACAAGGAUUACAUAAUUAGAUCAUAUAACAAUCCCUCAACGUGCAACAAAGAGUCACUCCAAAGUCACUAAUAGCGGAGAACAAACGAAGAGAUUAUUGUAGGGUACGAAACCACCUCAAAGUUAUUCUUUCCGAUCAAUCCAUUGGGCUAUUCCUAUAAGUGUCACAAACAGCCCUAGAGUUCGUAGUAAAAUAACACCUUAAGACACAAAUAAACCAAAACCCUAAUGUCACCUAGAUACUCCAAUUUCACCUCAAGUAUCCGCGGGUAUAAUUAUACGAUAUGCAUCACACAAUCUCAGAUUCAUCUAUUCAAACCAACACAAAGAACUUCAUAGAGUGCCCCAAAGUUUUUACCGGAGAGUCAAGACGAAAACAUGUGCCAACCCCUAUGCAUAGAUUCCCAAGGUCACGGAACCCACAAGUUGAUCACCAAAACAUACAUCAAGUGAAUCAAUAGAAUACCCCAUUGUCACCACGAGUAUCCCACGCAAGACAUACAUCAAGUGUUCUCAAAUCCUUAAAGACUCAAUCCGAUAAGAUAACUUCAAAUGGAAAACUCAAUCCAUUACAAGAAGGUAGAGGGGGAGAAACAUCAUAUGAUCCAACUAUAAUAACAAAGCUCACGAUACAUCAAGAUCAUGCCAAAUCAAGAACACGGGAGAGAGAGAGAGAUCAAACACAUAGCUACUGGUACAUACCCUCAGCCCCGAGGGUGAACUACUCCCUCCUCGUCAUGGAGAGCAUUGGGAUGAUGAAGAUGGCCACUGGUGAUGGAUUCCCCCUCCGACAGGGUGCCGGAACAGGGUCCCGAUUGGUUUUUCGUGGCUACAGAGGCUUGCGGCGGCAGAACUCCCGAUCUAGGUUUUGUUCUGGAAGUUUGGGGAUUUAUAGGAGGGGUUGGCGUCGGUUUCACGUCAGGGGGCCCCACAGGUAGUCCACGAGGCAGGGGGCGCGCCCUAAGGGGGGCACCCUCCACCCUCUGGGGCCCACGGGACUCCCAUUCGGUAGCUUUUCAUUCUAGUAUUUUUUAUGUUUGCCAAAAAUAUUCUCCGCUGAUUUUCAACGCAUUCCGAGAACUUUUUUUUGAGGAACUUGACAGUGGGAGAGAACUCCCGCUGCAUAUAUUUCAUAUAUCCAUAUAAAUGGGGUGUUUACAUAGAUAUAUCACUUACAUCACAUCCCACCCUCACUACUGGUGUCACCAAAUAGGGGGGUGGUCAGCUAUGCCAUGAUCACCACUCACACACUAUAUUUUUUUGGCUCUAUGCAAGCUAACAGAGUACAGAAGUAGAAGAAGGACUCAACUAAGUGUGUCACAGUAUGAAAGCAGGGCAGCCCUGCGUGCACCUUUUACUCUAUGUUGCAAGAGCCCCAAGUCCUCCUUGAAACGCUGAAACCAAGAUGUAAUGCUUGGGGCUACACCUCUAAAGUGCUUAUUAUUUCUUUCUUUCCACAAACUCCAGGCAGCAUUGUAGAACGUUUCGAUGAAGAAAGGAUGGGGCAGAAUGGUUUGUGCAUUCUGCAGCGCCACAAACCUAUUUUGGAAAUCAGGCCAGUCAACACCUAUCCUGGCCCAGCACCUUUCACUAAAUUGGCAAGUGAAGAUCAUAUGCUCAAGAGUCUCCUGAAUGUUUCGCCCGCAAAGGAGGCACGUGAAAUCAUCCCCAAUAUCAUAAUGUCUCCUCCUGAGCAUGUCACGAGUGUUCAACCUGUCUUGCAGCAACAACCAUCCAAAUACCUUGAUUUUCAUUGUACAGUUUGACUUCCAAAGGAGCCUAAAAGAGGGAUGAGUUGUUGCGUCAUGGAAGAAGUUGUUAUAGUAAUCUUUCGGUCUGUAUUCGGUUGCACCCCAAAUGUAGUGCCAAACAUCAGAUAUUGCCAUUGUUGGGUGAAUGUGGGAUGUUGCAUGCUGGACAUCCCGUACCUCAUCAAGAGCACGAGCAGACAGCGGUAGGUGAAAGGUUUCAUGCAGCUCAGCGUUGGCCCAGAAGUCAGCGACCGUUAUGUCCUCAUGCACAGCAAAAGAAAAGGCACGUGGGUGUGAAGAUUGAAGCACAUCAUUGGACCACAAAUCCUUCCAGAGCAGCGUGGUUGAUCCGUCAACCACUUGGACGCGAGUGAUCCCCCUGUAAAUGGGCGUUAGCUUGAGAACGUCUUUCCACCAGAAAGACCCGAUCGAAUCCACCGCAUGAGGCACCUGGUUAGCAUAUUGAUUAUCCCAAAGCAUUGUAACCCAUGGCACGUCCAGUUUGUUAUAGAACUUGUGCAAAAACUUUAGCAGGAGGGCAUCAUUAUGUAUUUGAAUGUUGAUCACUCCCAGCCCGCCCUUACUCUUGGGCUUGCAAACUAGCUCCCAAGCAGCCAGCAAGUUGCAUUUGUCUCCUUGAUCAGUUUUCUUUUUCCAGAGGCAUCUCCUUCGAAUCUUGUCUAGAAUUCCAAUCAGUUUCGGAGGGAACUUGAGCGUGCACAUGGCAAACACCAGGAGCGAUGUGACAGAAGCAUUGAGCCAGGAAAGGCGGCCCCCAUAAGACAUCAUGUCAAUCGUGGCAGUGAGACGACGUUCCAUUUUGCAAACCAGAGGCAUGAAUUCUUGGAUGGUUGGUCUUGUAGUGCCAAGUGGGAGGCCCAGGUAGGUGAGGGGCAUUGUACCUACAUUGCAUCCGAAGAUAGUGGCUAAGCUUGAAGCUGAACUUGCAUCCAUGUUGAUUGGAAUCAACGUUGAUUUGUGGAAAUUAAUUUUGAGGCCGAUCGAGGAUGCGUAGUCAGAAAGGAUUUUUUUGACACGUAUCGCUUGAUGUGGGCAGGAAGGCAAGGCAAGUAAUGUAUCGUCCGCGUAUUGGAUCACCGGGUAGUCAUUUUGCCCAAAGCAGGGAAAAGGCAGGCUGAUAUCUCCACGUCUGAAAGCAUCAUCGAUCGCGCAUUGAAGUAGCUCGGCUGUGAGGACAAAAAUGAGGGGGGAGAGAGGGUCACCUUGCCUCACACCACACUAGGACUGACGAACGACCCAAGGAGAAAAGGCACUUGAUCCAAGAGAUCCACUUGUCAUUGAAACCCAUUUGCUGCAUAAUGCAAAUCAUCGGUUCGUGUGCAAUAGUAUCAAACGCCUUAGCGAAAUCAAGUUUGAGAAGAACGAUUGGCCGGCACGAGCUUUGACAUUGAUGAAGAUAUUGGUAUGCCCACGCCAGGCAAUCCUGUAUCGCGCGUCCUUUAAUGAAUCCAUACUGGUUUCGGUGCACAAGGGAGAUGAUGACACGUUGAAGUCUAUCAGCUAGCAGUUUGGUAAUCAACUUGAGGCAGCAAUUGAGCAGAGUAAUGGGUCAGAAAUCAUUUACAGUCUCCGGAGAGUUGAUCUUAGGUAUGAGCGUGAUGAGACCAUCAUUGAUACUUGUCACGUCUAACGUACCUUCAAAGAACUGGUCGCAAAGGGCAUAGAAGUCAUGCCGAAUAAUGGGCCAGCAAGCUUUCAAGAACGCCCCACUGAACCCGUCCGGGCCAGGUGCUCGGUCAGGCGGUAUAUCUUUGACCACAUUAUCGAUUUCCUCAUGGGUAAAAGGAGUGGUGAGCUGGUCGAGGUUGGUUGCGCGGGGGAUGAUUGUUGGAAUGUCCAAUUUCAUGUCCGAAGGGGAGACAGUCCCUAGGCGAUCUUUGUAGGUUUGAAACAAGAGGGCCUCUUUGGCAGGGUGAUUAUCAACCAACGUGCCAUCUUCAAGCUUGAAGGAGGCGAUGUUGUUUUGGCGAUAACGUUCCGUGGGCAGAGCUUGAAUUUUUUUGGAGUUUUCUUCAAACUUGAUCCAACGAAUAGUACAGCGCUUCUUCCAAUAUAGUUUUUGAUAUUUGAGCAGUCUGAGCAAAUAUGACUUUAAGAUACGUCUGAAGUUCAUUUCUGGGAUUGAAAGGGUUCGUUUAUUCUCCAGCUCAUCUAAAUCCGCAAGGACAGCAUUACAGUUCGUGAUGGCCACAGAAAGACGAGAAAUACUCUUACUCCAGAUCUUGAGGGCGUGUCGAAGAGCUUUGAAUUUGCGACAAAGAAGUGUAGCAGCGUUUGCGGUCCCAACUGGCCGCUCCCAAACAUCCCUAACAAUGUCCAUAAACCCUGGCUGCAAGAUCCAGUAGGAUUCAAAACGAAAGAGCUUUAAUCAUGGUAUUUUCGUCUCGAUAGAGACAACGCAAGGGAUGUGGUCCGAAACAGGCUUGCCAAGGGGUUUAACGAGCGUCUUAGGGUAAACGUUGGUCCAGUGCAAAGACGUGAAGAACCAGUCAAUCUGCUCAAGUAGAGGGUCAAUCUGCUCAAGUAGAGGGUCAAUCUGCAUAUUACUCCAAGUAUAGGUUCUUCCUUUCACCGGGAGCUCAAUUAGUUGCAGCUUACGGAUGAUGUCGUUGAAAGUAAUCAUGUCAUGAAUGUUACCCCCAGGUUUAUUACGAUUGUCUGGUGCUCUCAUGUAGUUAAAGUCGCCUAACAACAACCAGUCUUGAUUACUGGGUAUUUGAAUGUCAUAUAGCCAUUGCGUGAAAGCAUCUCUAUCCGCCCCCGUGCACGGCCUGUACACAUUGACUAACGUCCAACGCUGAGAGGAUUGUGUGCUAACGAAAUCGACAACUAGCGCAUAUGGUUCAGACGAAAUAACGGAGCCAGAGAAAACCAAACUUUUCCAGAUCGUUAGCAGCCCCCCAGAGGCGCCACACGAAGGUACAUAAGCAAAACGAUCAAAUUGUCUAGGACAACAGGUUUUAAUAAAAGCAAAAGUAACCUCAGGCAUCUUAGUCUCCUGAAUGCAAACGACAGCACACCCACUGGUGGAGAUAGCAUUAUUCAGAGCUAAUUGCUUCUUCUUAGAGUUGAGCCCACGGAUAUUCCACGAGAGCACAUUCCAGCAGCUCAACAGUGCGAAAGAGAAACCCCAAGAUUAGGCCAAGUUGUGGGAGAGAUCCUCUCCCUGGUCUUCCAUGUCAGUCAUAGUAGCCGAAGGUUCAGACAUCGCAGCAGGUUCAGCAAGCAGCGCUUCUUCAGAAAGUUCAGUAGCAGGUAUAGCACACCUGUUAACUCCAAUAGAUUGCAGUGUAGCUAUAGGAGUUGGGGGUGGGAUCUCACCAGUGGAGGAAGCAGCAGAAGCAGAAGUGCCAAUAGACGGGAUGACGCGAGGCUUAACUUUUGAAGGAGUCUUGCGAAUGUCAGAGAUAGGAGGGACCCUGAACCCAUCGUAUUUGUUGGAGCGAAGACUGCGGCGCACUUCAGUUGUGGAGAUAGGAGCAGCGGCUCUGGCCCUACGGGAUCGCGGGCCAGUGGCUGCAAGAGGUGCCACAGCCUCAGAGAUCACAGAGGAUUCAGGUGCUGGAAUAUGCGUAACUUGCUCUAUAUCCAUAGUUGCGUCGUCAGUGUUAGGCAGCAAGGCAAGUUCAGUGGUGUUAGCCCUCAUAGUAGGUUCAGAUAGCUCCUCGAUGGUCAGUGAAGAAGAUUCCAGAGCAGGAGCAAAGCUAGAUUGCUGUAAGAAGUUCAUACUAGAAGUGUCCUGUGUGAUCAAAACAGAUAACCGAAUCAGGUUUGUUCUUAAACCAAACCCCUCCCUCCAUGGCCCAAAGGUUGCAAGCAUUGGACUAACAGCUUGGAAAAUGAAGGUGUUGAGAUUCAGGCGAGGGAUUGGGUCAUUCAACAGCCUGGCCAGGAUCUCAUCACCUUGAGCAGAUAAACCAAACAUGAUAGUAUGAUCAGAGAUCUCCAUUGAAAUGGUAAGAGAGUCAGAGCUAGCAUUGUCAGUCAAAUGCGAUGAAGGAUCAGCCAGGAUGAGAAGAUCAAACUGAGUCGAACUCGAACUUCAGAUUGAGUGAUGGAAUCAUUCCAAGCUUCGAGCGCGUUGUCAGUGAUAUUAUUUUCAGGAACUAAGCCAUGUUGUACUGUCAGACCUUGCGCCGCAAGCCAGGCGUGAUAGUUCACCAGAUGUGGUGGCAUUUCUGGGAGAGGAGGAGCAGCGGGUGCAUCCCAAGUGCCCCAACCAGCAUUUGCAUUCACCUGCUGGGCUGCAUUGUUGGUAGCUGCAGGUGCACCAUUUUGAACAAGCCAAUUGUGAACUUGCUGUUGGUAUAGCUGCUCUGUAGUUAACUCAGGGCCGAACAGCGGGUGCGGGUUGCCGUCGGGGGUGGCUGAUCCUCAGGUGCGGCCGGGACGUCGGGGAGAAGGCCAUUCUAGUCGUUACUGCGGAGAAUGGUGACUACGACUGUCCAACUGUCGCGUGCACCACCAAGCUGCCAUACCACAAAGCUCUUGGGGAUGAGUCGCAGACUAAUUACUCUGGCUUUCAGAAGGAUGAAUCUGCGAUCCUGACGAGGAUUAUACCAGGAGACUAAUGAACCGUAUCCACCCAGGCCCUUAGUGAUGUAAUAGUCAGAUUGAUAAUCAUACGGGAAGCCAAAGAAUAUAAUCCAAACUUCAGGCCCAAAUGGUGCAGCGCGGCGGUUGAGAGCGGCAUUGUGCGGAACAGAAGUAAUCAACAGAUCUCCGUCCUCAAGUUCAAGUGGAGUGUUCACGGCAGUAUCUCAUAUAAAGGAAUCCACAAAUCCAAAAAUCCCAACUCCAAGGGGGUGAUCACUGACCUCAGUAGUAAAGAGCUGCGAUUCUUGAAGCAGAGCAUUGAUCUGAAUGCGGACGAAGGCGCGGCGAUGCAGGGGCACAUACGCACUGGCUUCAGCAAUGGCCAAAUACUCAUGGCUGAGGGGGCAAUCGGUCCAAUGACCAUGCCACUGUGCACUAGACGAUCGGCCAGCCCAGGUUCAACGGCGAAGCCCGGCGGGAGGAAAGGCACUGGGUUCAGCGGGUAGUUCGCCAUUGUUGUGGAGUGGAGCGGCGGAGAGGGAGGUGAUGGAGAGAUUGGAUGCGACGGCAAUGGCGCAAGUUGUAGCAGGAUAUCAGACUGUGGUGAUGGGACGGGGCGAGGUGAAGCCCGUUGGGUUCUCGAGGCGGAAGCUAAAGCGUGAAUGGGGGCGGUGGGGGGCAAAUUUGUCUUUACCACCCAUUUCCAUUUCUUUUGGAGAGCAGCUCUGCGACAAGAUGACGCCACGUGGCCAUAGAACCCACAGGCAUUACAUCGGACGGUCCUCGCAGCGGCUUUGGUCGAGCAUUUGGUAGGAAAAGGAUGGCCCAGAGAUCUCGGGGGAAUAAUUGCAGUCUCCUUGUUUGACCCCGGCCAGGAGCGAGUGUCACGGCUGCUACGUUUUGUGCAAUCCCCUGUUUUAUGAUCAGGGCCCGAGCAAUUAAUGCAAAUGAGGCGAGCUUGGCAGGCGAUCCUGCAAUGUCCCCAUUGAAGGCAUCUAGCACAGAGGGCGGCCCAAUUAGUGGCAAGGGAAUGAAUGUCAUUUGCGGAAUAAUCUGCCUGGGCUAAAUCAGCCUUAUGUUUAGCGCUAAGCAUCAGGGGCCACAUGUCAUGGGGUGGGCCGUAGCGGAAAGCGGACUUGAGGAAACUUUGCGGGAGUGGUGGGUAUUGGGCACGCAUGGGGCAUUUGAAUUGCCCAAAAGAAAUACACUCAAUAACUCUAGCGGCCUCAGACUCCGCCUGGGAAAGAUAAUGCUCCAUUAAUGCCAGGCGAUCCGUUGGUAAGGCGGUAAUGCCGCCCUGGAGAGGUGGCAGUGGGAAAGACCCGAAGUGAAUUUGAGUUCGUUCAUGGCGAUCAACCAAUAGAGAAGUGGAGGCCUCAUGAUCAUGCAAAUUGGAAAAGUCCCAAUGCUUCAGAUUAACCAGGUUAAACUUGCUGAGUUCUUUGGCCGACGAAGAAUCUGUUAACUGACCCUUACGUAGAAAAUCCAGAGAAGCAGAUAGGGCCACAGGACGACGAUCAUGGUUCUCAACCAAUUCUUGAUCAGCAUGCCAGUGAGAACCAGAAAAUUGCUUCGCAAAACGACCAUUAAAAAGAUGGAAGUGGCAAACAAAGUCUGGCCAAACACGAUCCUUUAACCCGUAAAUGAAAUGCCCCACCUUGUUGUUAGCCACAGAAAAGCGAAAUGAUCGGGGGGUAAGGGUAACAAUAUUGAAACCAGAGCAAAGUCCCCCAAUGCAACAUUGUAAGGCCAAUCCAACCGAGUCAUUCGUGAGUGGGAAUGAAGCCGAAGAGAAGGAGACGACCAGAAAGAAUUCCUUGGUGUCCCUAGAGGGGAGAAGUGGACCGUAGAGCCAAACUUACGUCUCACCUGAUCAGCCAAGGACAAACCAGGAGCAAAAUCCCAAUGGAGGAGGCCUUCCAUGGUGGUGAUAUCUAGAGAUCGCCAUUGGUGGUGGAAAGCAGGUGGGAGAGAGGAGAGAUGGGAGAGGAGAGGAGCGGUGGGAGAGCCAUCUUCAUGGCCUGCGACUUUUCCCCAAUUGUUGCCCAUUCCGAGAACUUUUAUUUUUGCACAAAAACAACACCAUGGUAGUUCUGCUGAAAACAACGUCAGUCCAGGUUAGUUCUAACCAAAUCAUACCAAAAUCAUGUACAAAUAUUAUAAACAUGGCAUGAAUACAUCAAUAAUUAUAGAUACGUUGGAGACGUAUCAAUAACUAACACUUUCAGCCCCACUAUAACCCACCUACUAUUUGUUGAUGAUAGCUUGUUGUUUCUGGAGGGCUCUCAAGAUAAUUUUGAAACACUAUGUACCAUUCUAAAUGACCAUGAAGCAACAUCGGAGCAAAAGUGAAACAUGCAUAAAUCUUUCAUAUUCUCUGGGCAGUAAAGAGGAGUAUAAAGAAAACCUGAAACAAGUCACUAGUAUUACUUCAGAGGAUCUAGAGCGACAUCUUGGCCUACCAAAAAUGGUCUAUAGAUCCAGGCAGGGUACUUUUAAGCAUGUUGGGUAGCGUGUCAAUGGUAAAGUGGUCGGCUGGAAGGGAUAAUGCCUCUCAAAGAUUGCUCGAGAAGUAUUUUCAAGUUUGUGCUUCAAUUGACACUAACGUACACCAUGAGUUGUUUUCAACUCACAAAGAUAAUGUGGCGGAACCUAUCUUUGGUCUCAUUAAAGUUCUUGUGGGGUGCAGCUAGUGGUGAGAAAAAUGUGCAUUGGAUUGCAUGGGACAAGAUGUCCACUACAAAGCAUGAGGGAGGAUUUGGUUUUGGAGACCCCAAAGUGUUCAAUCAAGCGUUCUUGGCUAAGCAGGCAUGGCAUAUACUACAAGUCCCUUCCCCUUUUGUGUGCUUGUGUAAUGAAAGAUAUAUAUUUUAGGGAGGGUACAAUCAUGAAUGCGAACAUGCCUGGCUUGGGGAUCUUUCACCUUCUAUAGUAUCUCGCAUGGACGUAACUUGUUACAAGAUGGUGUAAUUUCGAGGAUAGGUGGCGAUUCCGAAUCAGAAUUCAUCACGAUAAGUAUAUCACAUGGAAGGGUCGCCUCAAGCUGGGUGAGGACUAUGUUCAUGGUGUUACUCAUGUCAGCAAUCUGCUAACAGCCUGUGGUACUACAUGGAAUAGGAGCAAGGUUGAGUUGAUUUUUUUCCUUAGACAAUGCUAAAGAUAUUAUGCAAAUCGUGAUUGGUGGCCCUGGGCUGGAGAACUACUUGCCGUGGAGUUUCACCAAAAAAAGGACAACUCACUAUUAAAUCUGCAUACCAUUUGCAUAUGACCAAUAAUUGAGUGAAGAUCGGUCGGUCAAAACCUUCCUCGGCGGUGGAUAGCCACAAGGGCUGGAUAGCUUUUUCGGACACUAGUGCACCGAACAAAGCCAAGAUUCGCACCUGGCGUUUGAUACAUGCUUGUUGUUGGUGCCGAGCUUCACCAUUGAUGGAUAAAGGCAGACGUCUUCCAUGCUGCAUGUGGGCGAGAAGAGAUAAUAUAUCACAUAUUUUGGGCAUGCCCUCAUUCGAUGAUGUUCUGAAAAUUUUUGUGCUCAGAAAAGGGAGCUCUGGUGGUGAUCCCACCGAUAUCGGCGUGCUCCUAGAGUACCUUAUCUAGCUAGAUUUUGACAUGCUUAUCAAAAGCUUUUUAAGAGGAACGAUCGAUGAAGAUUCAGGGGCCAUGUGCUAUAUGGUAGGCAAGAUGACACGAAGGAAGGUAAAAGAUUGCAGACGCACAUGUUAUAGCAAACUCUGUAGCUAGCUAUAUGGAAGAGUGGCAAGCUAUGCAAGAAACAAGAUCACGAGUUGCGACUCCAUUGAUGGCUAAGCGAUAGCUCUCGCCGGAACCCGACCGAGUGAAGGCGAACAGACGGGCGAUCUUGAAGUUUGGGAAGGAAGGGGCGGUGAAGUGUUUCUUAGGUAUUGAUGGCGUGUUUAGAGGGGGUGCAUGCUCUUCUCGACAACCUCCAACCUAGAGCUUGUUGAAAUCCUUGUGCCUCAGCAGGCAGUCCAGCCGGUUGUGUAGACGAAAGUGCAAAAUUGCACAUUGAGCUUGACUGCAAGGUCGCUGGGAGCAUGUUGAAUGAUACCGGAAAGAAUUUAUUUGCUGUAGGGCCGGUGAUAGAAGAAAUCAAUGCACUGGUACGAGCUCGUCUGGAUUAUAGGGUUAGUUGGGUUGGUCGCUCCGCCAAUGCUGCGCCUCAUGCGCUAGCAAAGGAGCGAGGGAGUUAAUAAUAAACUAUGUAAGCUCUCGUUCCACAUUCUAGCAAAGUAUGUUACCUUAAAAAACAUAUAUAAAACACAUGCUCCACAUACAAAAAUAUGGAUGUAUUUUUAUUACGUUAUCAGAUUCAUUUGGAAAGAAAAAACUCCGCCGUCCCUAAAUAUAAGAUCAUUUAAAUGGCCAAAAUGGUCUUAUAUUUUGGGACGAAGGGAGUAUGUAUUCUAAAAUUAGGUUUGAGUAGGUAGUACUCCCUCUGUACACUAAUAUAAGAGCGUUUAGAUCACUACUUUAGUAUUCUAAACGCUUUUAUAUUAGUUUACGGAGGGAGUAACCAUCUGAUAUUUUUUCUUUUAAGUAUGGAUGAACCGGAGUUUUUACUGUUUUUACAUCCGCUUGACACAAAUGUAUAAAGCGUGCCGUAAAAUAAUUCCUAGUUAUUCUUAUUUAUUUUUAUUUGAUGCUGUCAUCAGUUUUUUUAAAAGAAUUACUGGAAAAUGGGGCAGAUAUUAAAACGCAUUAAACAGCCCCAUGGGCAAUCAAAAGCAUCAAACAGCCACACCCCACUCUCUGCUACAGUCUACAGUCUCUAGUCUAGUUCCUGCUGCUACUACCACUACCACCACACCACCACCACACCACACUUGCUCGUCUCCCUCUGCCCCUCCCCUUCCUCCUAUAGCAAUCAAACCACCAGCUCCACUCCCCCCUCCCCUUCCUCCGUCCUCACCCUCCCCCUCCUGCUACUCCCCAGUUCAUGUCCUGCUGCUUCCCAUGUCGCCGCCUCUCGAGCUCGACUACAUAGGCCUCUCGGCCGCCGCCGGCGGCCGCCCGGACGACGACCUGAAAGGCACCGAGCUCCGCCUCGGACUUCCCGGCUGCGAGUCGCCCGACCGCCGCCCGGUCGCCGCCACCACCACACUGGAGCUGCUGCCCGCCAAGGGGGCCAAGCGAGGGUUUUCGGACGAGGUCGUGCCGCCUGCGCCGAUUUCCGCCGCCGGGAAAGGCAAGGAGGCGUCCGGGGAUGAGAAGGACAAGAAGGUCGCCGCCCCGCCGCAGCCUGCUGCCAAGUAGGCGCCUAUCCCCCCUGCGAAUUUUGUGGAUUUGACUGUUUCAUGGUGUUCUGCCGAGUUUUGCGGGAUGCAGUGGGUUGGAGCGCGAAUGAGUGGAGGAAGUGAUGCGUAAAAUUUUGGGAAAAAUAUGUGGUGGGUUAGUACGAGACGGUGAUUUAGUUUGCUUGGAACCUCCGAAAAGCUGUAAUUUGGUAGCUGUUGCAUGCAUUUGAGUGAAUUCCGUCUGUCGAGGGGAAAAACCCUCUUUUUUGGGUGCGAAUUUGGUGCCGAAGGGCCCAUUUUGCGGUUCUUCCGUUGCUGUUUGCGGGCGCGCGUUUUGCACUCGGCUUGAUCUAUUAGGUUCAGGAGUUUGGAGGGGCAGAAAUUUAUUCACUGCAGAGUCUUUUUGCAAUUUCGCUGUGAAUUUNNNNNNNNNNNNNNNNNNNNNNNNNNNNNNNNNNNNNNNNNNNNNNNNNNNNNNNNNNNNNNNNNNNNNNNNNNNNNNNNNNNNNNNNNNNNNNNNNNNNNNNNNNNNNNNNNNNNNNNNNNNNNNNNNNNNNNNNNNNNNNNNNNNNNNNNNNNNNNNNNNNNNNNNNNNNNNNNNNNNNNNNNNNNNNNNNNNNNNNNNNNNNNNNNNNNNNNNNNNNNNNNNNNNNNNNNNNNNNNNNNNNNNNNNNNNNNNNNNNNNNNNNNNNNNNNNNNNNNNNNNNNNNNNNNNNNNNNNNNNNNNNNNNNNNNNNNNNNNNNNNNNNNNNNNNNNNNNNNNNNNNNNNNNNNNNNNNNNNNNNNNNNNNNNNNNNNNNNNNNNNNNNNNNNNNNNNNNNNNNNNNNNNNNNNNNNNNNNNNNNNNNNNNNNNNNNNNNNNNNNNNNNNNNNNNNNNNNNNNNNNNNNNNNNNNNNNNNNGUGUGAUUUUGUUCUUUGAAAUUUCAUUGGGAAACUAAGGAGGGCAUCACAUCUGCAAAUUUGUGCACUUGGUUUGAAUUGGACUAGUCAAUUUGGGUCUACCUUUACUUUCAAGGUUUACCAAGUUUGUAAUGCUUUGAGUUGUUUUCUAGGGUAUGUUUGGUUUGAACAUACCUGGUUGCUUUUAACUCGCGUUCAUAACUUCAUAUAGCCAAACGAAAUGCUGGGUCGGCUUCAUUGCCGGUUCUUACUCUGAAUUGCCGAUGCGCAGGGCUCAGGUGGUGGGAUGGCCACCAGUCCGCAGCUACCGCAAGAACACGAUGGCAACCACCACCAACCAGCUGAAGAGCAGCAAGGAGGAUUCUGACACGAAGCAGGGGCAAGAGUUUCUGUAUGUCAAGGUCAGCAUGGAUGGUGCGCCUUACCUGAGGAAGGUUGACCUCAAGACAUACAAGAACUAUAAGGACAUGGUUGUGGCGCUAGGGAAAAUGUUCAUUGGCUUCAGGACCGGUGAGGCUGCUUGGAUCCUUGGCAAAUUGUUGCUGUUUUAAUCUGCACCUGCAUUUGAAUUGGGGUAGAAGAAAUGCAUCGUUGCACACAUCUUGUUUCGCUGAAGAAAUAACCAAUUACUCUGUUUGGAAAUGUUCUACUCCCUCCGAUCCAAAUUAAUUGACGCAGCUUUAGUACACUUUACUAAAGCUGCGGCCAUUAAUUUGGAUCGGAGGGAAUAGCAAAUUCCAGGUUUAUGAAAUUGACGAAGAAGACUCUUUUUCAGGGCCGGCUAAAUUGGUUAUUGUGGUGUAACCAGUUUCGAGGCUUCGCAUCUAAAUUUGGCCAUGCUAUUUGUGUGCAUAUUUGUUUUGCUAGAUACCUAGUUUCAGCAUAUAUUAUUACCGGUGGAGCAAAUAUUCUAUUCUAAUUCAAGGAACUUUUAUUGUGUUUAAUAUUGUUUGAUGAAGCAACCAGCAGUGUAGAUUGGACUAUGUCAUAAAAUGCCUAAUGUUUAGGCUAGCAUUCGCUAAGGGUCUGUAAAUAACUAAAUAUCACUCAAUUAUUCAUAAGCCUUUGAUAAACAGCAAUUUCCCUAUAACCUCUUCAUACCCAUUUUGUGCUUCAAGGUCAGACAUCAAACCUACUAUUUUAAGAACGUAAAUUGCAGAAAGGCGUAUAUCUAGGGACAUAAAAUUUACCAACAUACAAUGCUUUGUUGAGAAAUUCAGUGUAAGGUGGUCCUUUCUCCGGCAGUUUUAACCUUACAUGUGGUACUGAGUCUAAUUCUGUACCAGGGAAGGAUGGUGCAUCUGAGAACAGAAAGGAUGGUGAAUAUGUGAUGACUUACGAAGACAAGGAUGGAGACUGGAUGCUGGUUGGUGACGUCCCAUGGGAGUAAGUACAUAGUCUGAUCUAAUUGGAAUAACAACAAGCGUAGAAAUGAGAACUUUGAAUGAUAGUUUGGGUUCUGUAGUAUAACUUUUGAAGGACGAUAAAAAAUGAUAGUGUGCCAAAUAAAUGUUUUUUACUAGUUUACUGUGUAUACAUACAAGCACCCAGAUAAAAUGAACUCGUUCUGUACAGCAGCCAUGAUUAGAGUAUCUCUCAAGUCCAUAUAACCUGUUCUAAUAUUUUAUAGAAUGCAUGCAGUCAACCUCUUCAAACUCUGACACAGAUAUACUAAAAUUUUAUUUUAUUUUCACCUAAAUUGUGCCAUUAGUUUUUAAAAGCUUUGCUAUUAGGAAAAUCAGUGGUCUAAGCAAUUUAUUGGAGAUAGCAUUGACGCCAAAAGAACCAGUAAAAAGGAACGGACCUAGUAGUCCAGUACUAGUCACUUUGGUUAUCUUUUUAUUAUGUUGUAAUUGCUCUAAAUUCUAUGGUCCUGGUGUUCUAUUGCUGCAUGUAGCAUCUCAUGUCUGAACAAGUAAAAGGGUUCUAAUGCAGUCACUAACUCACUGUAGUUGUUCUUGUGGCACGUUAAUUGUUACAAUUCCGUUGUCAAGAAAACCAUGAAUAUCUGGUGCAUACCUGAUACCUCCCCUAUGAGCUUAUCAAGUGAUUGCUUCUUAUUCGUAAUUGCAGGAUGUUCACCGAGGCUUGCCGGAGGAUCAGGGUCAUGAAAAGUUCAGAUGUAGUUGGGCUUGGUAUGUCCAAUAGUGUUCCGUUUAGUAUAUACAUUUUUGUUUUAAUUUCACUGAUGGCUUCUGCAGUUAUUUUAUUUAACCAUUUGUCUGCAUCGUGUUACUGCUUUACUGCUCAAGCUGUUUCUCAGGCUUGCUUAAUUAUUUGAACUGCACUUGAGCGGGAAAGCGGGUUACUCUUGAAAAGACUCAUUGUACUUGAAAGCUUGUUUAGUUGGAGCUUAAAUAUCUUUACGGACCCAGCAUUAAAUUGAGUGUUAGUUUGCUUUUAUUUCUUUAAUUAGAAUAUACUCCCCAUUCCAACUCCCUGUUGUACUCUAGAUAAGUAAGAAGCCUUGUGAGUUUUGGAAGUGUUUGGAUAUAACCCAUUCCUGGUCUCUAGAGUUUAGAGAAUCACAAUUGUUUCCGUAAUGUCAUUUGAAGAACAGAAUGUUGUGCUGGUAGUUUUAAUCAAACCCUAGUUUGUCUGAGGGACACAGCAUUAAAUUUGCGUUUUCCAGCUCUGACCAUAAACAAUUGGAGUCUGGAUUUGGUUGAGCCAAGAAAUUCCUGGAAACCUAGUUAACAAGAAAAAAGAGCUAGUAUUAUGGAUCAGAGAAUUAUAACAGGUUGACCUUGAUUUGCACAUUUCUUUUCCAAUAACUAUAUAUAAUUUACAAAUCAGAGUUAAAAACACAUGCUGUGUUUGUUGAUAUAUUUUGACGAUUAAAGGCUCAAGCCUCGCAAAAGUUCUUUAUGUACCUUGUCUCUAUGUAUGCUUUUGUUUUGCUACUUUGGAAUGUUUCUCCAACAAUGUAAGGUUGAAGUUCACUUGGGGUAACCUGCACCAUCCUACGUCAAGUACAUUUCAUAAUUCUACCUUGACAGUAUGAUGUCCGAACUGACUGUAUCUCUUCUUUUUCCAGGAGUUACAAGGGCAGGGGUUAAGUCCAAGAAUAAGAACUAAAACGGUCGCUGCCCACGGUUUGAAGACGAGGUCGCACAUGCCGUCUGUACUACUGCAUGGUUUUCCUAUCCCACAAGUAAAAUCACCCGUUACUCUACCGUUUAAGAUUUGCGACAUCUCCUAGAGACUUAUGCUCUAUAUUUUGUUGUGCCCACGUUGUUGUACGCGUGUUAUUUCCAUCCGUGUAAAUGGUUGGUAAGCAGUGCGAGAGCUACUGCUGUGUUUGAUGACUCCUAUGUAUUUUGCCACUCUUGUCCUGAACCGGUCGUUCGUCGUAAAUGUGAAGGUUGCAAGACUAUUAUUUACCUGACGAACUCUGGUUCGGCACACCCCCUCCUAGAAAAGUUUACAGAUUUCGACAC
Molecule: long non-coding RNA, 87157 nt
Filed under: Triticum aestivum (bread wheat)
Lineage: Eukaryota; Viridiplantae; Streptophyta; Magnoliopsida; Poales; Poaceae
Description: long non-coding RNA (TAES_LNC027042)
Rfam family: MIR1120/MIR1122 microRNA precursor family (bases 4676-4790)
Source: RNAcentral